RNAcentral lists this long non-coding RNA (73044 nucleotides) under Lynx pardinus (Iberian lynx). Lineage: Eukaryota; Metazoa; Chordata; Mammalia; Carnivora; Felidae. The record is from RNAcentral.
CAGCAUUCUUCCUAUUUAAAGCUGCAUCGCUUGAAAAAAGUUUUCUCAGACUGUGCUGGAGCUGGUGCUGAAAAAGGGGGUUUGCAAAGGCUGCCCUGGGGCUGGUGCUAAAAGAGCCCGCAGCUGACUUCAUGGUGCUACAAUAACCUUAGAAUCUACUUUUCACUCCCAGGAGGACCCACAUGUCUAAUAUUUAGACAUGAUGGCAAACUGGGUGGAAGCAAGACCUCUCCUCAUUCUUACUGUUUUAUUAGGGCAGUUUGUCUCAAUAAAAGCCCAGGAAGAAGGCGAGGAUGGUGAGUUUGCUGUUUGCUUUGCUUGUGGUGUUUACUGCACGGUUUGGGAAAUAGGUGGAAUGUUAAGCCUCGGGAAGGAAGAGCGUGAAGAGGAAGUUCUGGUUUGAAGUUGAGAAGGGGGCUGACAGAUUUGCACCUGGGAAACGGCUCUCUCUCGGAAGACAAUCAGGAUAUUUGUAAAUGCGGAGCUUCUCCAUCUGCCGUUGGGCUGCAUGUUUCUGGGAAACCCUAGGAGAAGUCCUUUUGCCUGAAUGUGGACAGUGGGAACUUUAAAAGAAAUGGAGAGUGCUUAAAACGGAGCACUAAAGGCACUUUUAGCCAGAGGAGUUCUGUUCUGUGGGCUGGAGUUUUCAGAGCAAGGAAAAGUCGCAGCAGGAGCUGGGUAGGGUGGAGUCUUUUUUGUACGGAACUUCAGCUGCUUCAUACAAUUCUUUGUUUAGAAAAACCUCUGCAGCCACUCUGAUAACUGAUUUUUCUUUGUCUUUGGCUCCUUAUUCUUUUCUCUUUACAGGCUUUUACUUCUUUCCCAUUUUCAUUUGUGAUCUUAAACCACUUUUGCUUACUGAGAGACAGUCUCGUUUACUUGUCCGUGACAGAGGCUGAUAGAAGCCAGAUUUCUUAAACAGUGGUAUUUUCCCACCCUACUGACUUGAUUAUCAGGACAGUGGUGGCUCCCUGCUGGAUGGCGGAAGGCUGCAAAUCGGCAUGCCUUAUAUAUAAUGUAUUUAUCAUGGAGUAUUUGCAUGGGCAUUAUCCUUUAGACACAAGUUUCAUUUCUUUUUAAUGAUUUAAGGCAAAUCUUGCCUGGUUACCGAUUUUUUUUUCCUAUGCAAUUUGCUCAUGGUUAGAGUUGGGUGGCAUGGUAUGGUUAAGCAAAAACGCAUGGCUGCUAUAGAAUAUAAGAAAACAUUUAAAUUGGUUCCACUGGUUAUUAAAUCCUUAUUCUCCAGACAUGUUUUUUUUCAUAAUAGACCAUAUACAUUUUCAUAACUAUUUAACAUCAAACUCAAGCUUUUAAAACUUAGCACAUUUAAACUUUUCUGUUAUUGUCUUUUAUAUAUAUUUUGAGUGUAUAUAUAUAUAUAUAUAUACAGAUAUAUGCAUAUGUGUGUGUAUAUUUUUUAAUACCUGCUUCUGUGUAUUUUUGCUCUGAAGAUGUUCAUAAAAUUAAUCUACAGGCCACAAGGUCUAAAAAUCAUUUAAAGAGUGAAAAUAAGAAUGUGAGAUGAAUACUCAACAAUCUGUCCAGAGUCCCAUAGAGGGGGCACUUUCUAAAAUCUUGUAACUUUUUACGUUACUUUUUAUGUUUUAAAAAACGAGGCAAUUCAUAAAAGGUAAAACUGUUGAGUUUCUUUGAAAUGGUGUGAAAAACAUUAGUUGUUUGGAGGGGAGGUGAAAAUAAUUGAAUAGGUACUAGGAGUCAGGAAAGGGGAGGAAAAAAUAUGGAAAAAUUACAAUAGAAAUAGCAAAUUUAAUUAUAAAAGGAACAGUUCACUCCCCUCCCCCACCAAAACAAUCAACAACUUUAGUUUAAAACUUAAUUAACACAAUUUUCCAUGUCAAUAUACUUUAAAAUAAACAACUUACUUUUAUAAAGUGUGGAAAUAAUUGAUCAUGUGAAUAAACGAAAAGAGUGUUUCAUAAGGUAUAUGGAAUAGGCAUAUGUUAAAAGACUUUCCCAAAUAAUUGUAAUUACUCUGUAGGUGUUAUUGAAAAAUAAGGAGAGUUUAAUGUUUUCUAAUAUUAAUUUACCUAAAUUUUAGAAAUUUUAUAUUUGGUGCAAAUCAGUCUCCAUCUCCAUACCAACCCCUCUUCCCCCUAUAUAACCAAACAGCACAGCAAUCGGAAUCCCAAACAUCAGAUUUUACAGAAAAAGUAUAAUUCCGUACAUACACAUGGUAAAACUUAAAUUCCUCUGUUUUAUUACUCAACCCAGGAGAAAAUAUGUGAUAAAAAUUCAAUAGCAAUAGAAAGUUGUAUGGCCCAAAUUAAAGGUAAUAUACACAAGAAUUCCAGAAUCUAGUAUAUUCAGAGUUUUGUAACUUGUAUUGUACUUACUUACUGUUCAUAUUUUGGUUUCAGUUAUAUUGAAUGGAUACUUGGCAAUACUUUAUUCCCCCUGUUCAGGCUUGACACAAGCUUAAUAAAAGUGUCAGAAUUUUGAAACUCCAUGUGAUUUUAAGUUUGGGGAAGAGUAAGUUCAAGUAAAUGCUUUAAACUAAAGAAAUAGCUAAGGUUCACAGGCAAAACAAGUAUAUUUUUCAAAUUUUGGCUAUAACUAAGUGAUAUAAUGUGGUAGUGAUUUUGUGUAAAAAUAUGUCCCCUUUGAAAUGUAGACACGUGUUAUCACAGGUAACUACAUGUUUACAAGCUUUUAUAGUUUUCAAGACUUCAAGGUAUAUUUUUUAUCUGUUUGACUGUGUUUAUUUACCAGAAAUGUCAACAUAAGCACAAUGUCUGCCUGAUAGAAAUACUUAUGAAUGAUGAGAUAAGAGUAAAUAAAUAAAGUUUUGGGACAUAUAGGCCCAGAUAAUUACUACCUAUCAAAAAUAUAAGAACUGAAUUCAUUUUUCACAUUCCUAAGAACUGAAGGGAAGUUGGGCUAACUUUGGUUGACACUAUUCAGUAACAAGAAGCAGAGUUAAGAAGACAAAAUCAGCUUUUCAUGAUUUUUGGGGUAUAUGUGUUUGUGAUGGUGGUGGUGGGAUGCUUUAAAAGGUUCCCCAUUUGUUUUUUCUAGGAGAAAAUACUAUGAAUUUAUAGUAAUUUUUAUACUCCUAAACAAAGGUCUAACACCUAUUGAGUUAUGCACAUUUUUGUUAUUAGAAAUGGACAGACUUAAUCUGAGAAUAUAAUCUUUGAUAUGAAUUGUUGAUUUCAACAACAGAGAAAGAAUGGGGAGAAGGAAAGGUGCAACAUUGUACCAUUUAUUUCCAGAGACCAGGUAGGUGACAUAAACAGGUGAAGCAAGUGAGUGUUUGUAUAUCAACAGGGGAUGAUGGGCCUGUGGAGAACUGAAGAUGCAUAUGCCCACUUUAAGGCAUUCAAAACCAGUGUUUUCCAGAAAGCAUUGCAUAAGCCAAAUACAAUAUCUCUGAGUGCCAAGUCUGGCUCAUGGACCAUAAAUUUGCAACCCUCUUGUUGCAACCCUACACUGAUAUCCUGGACCCAAGCCAGCUUCUGAUUACUAAGAGAUGAAGGGCUCAGAGUCCUUUUUAUAUCAUGGUUUCUUCCAUUUUUAUGUCACAUCUACCAUUUAUCUCAUUAUUAUAAUACAAACUUGAAGACACAAGUGCUCAUUACUUAGUACUACUUGGCCCAGAUCGUUUUAAAUGGUACUGAGUACAUUACUAAGUAGUACUUGGAUUGAAUCAUUUUAUAGGAAGUAGAGAAUAUGAAUACAUAGCUUAAGAUACUUGAAAACUCAUAAAUUGUUUUAAACUCAUUACUAUUGAAAUAGAUACUUUGGAUUAUGUAGGACAUACAACCUUUUCUUUCAUAGUGGAUGUUUUAAUCUAGAUUCAGCUGCAUAUACCAGAAUGCAAUUGUUUAAAUUUUUUUUAAAGUGCUUUUUUUUUUUUUUUAAUAAAAGAAAGUUUUAGUUAGGUAGUGAAAGGCUGGUAUAUUAGCUCUACAAAGUCAUCAAAGACCCCGUCUCUUUCUAGUUCUCUACUCUCAUAUUCCUGGGGUAUAAUCCUUGAUGUUGUGGUCUUAGAUGGCUGCUGAAUUUCCAGCCGUUACAUUUACUUUCCAGGCAUCUGGAUAGAGGAUGAGAGACGAAGGCUGUGAUUCUCUCUUUAUUCAUGGAGACUAUUAAGUCUUCAUCCCAUUUCAACUUACUUGUGGCCAGAAUUCGGUCAUAUGGUCACACAAAGCUACAAGGGUGGCUGGGAAAUGCAGUCUUUUAGGUGAGUAGCACUAGCAGUAUACUCUACUGAAUAGAAUUAUGUUACGAAAGAAAUAAAAGAGAGAAUAGCUGUUAGGAGGCAAAUAUAGUCCCAACCGCAAUGAGUGUAACUGUCACCCACUUUCAUUGGAAUAGAUCUAGUUUCACUGGGCAGGAUAUAGUUGUGUGACCAGAUGUACCCUUGUUAUUGGUCACUUCCAAGUAGUCCAUGAAGCCAAGAACAUUGGAUGGCACUUAAAUUAGACUGCAGCUUUUUGCUUUCUAAUUCUUUUAAAAUACAUUUAGAAGUACCUAUAACUUUUAUCCAAACUAAAGUGAGGCUUUAUUUUGAAGACUAUAUCUCUCUCUAUAGAUGUAGACUGGUAGAUUGAUAGAUACAGAUAAGUUUUUAUAUUGACAGAACAACAUGUGCUUUGACCAUGACUCUUUAGGUUAGUGGGUAAGCAAUCCACAGAUCCACGUUGAGCUGGCUGAAUAAUCAUCUGAAGAGCUUGUUACUCAUAUAGAUUCUAGGCUUCCCUCUUUUCCAGAUAUCUUGAUGUAGAUGGUUUGGAUGGGAUUUGGGAAUUCUCUAGGUGAUUCUGAUUCCUGUUGGUUAACCACUAUACUGCAUCUCUGCCUAACAUCCUUUUGAUAUUGACGUGGACCAGUUGGCUUCUUGUUCCAAGACUACACAACUGUGGUGUAGAAAUAACUUGCUAUUCUACUUAUUCCUUUCACUUACAAAGUUGCCUAAUUAAAGUUUGCAGAGAAACUGUGGCAAAUUCACCAUCAUUUCUGGAAAAAUAACUCAAUGCCCAAAUCUUCUUCACGGCAGUUAGGUAAAUCAUUCUACUAUGCAAUGAGUACAUCUUAUUAAAAUAUAUUUCCAGGUGGUUAUAUAAUUUUCAUUUUCUCUCUUGCUUCCUGUCUUCACAUUUUUAGCACACUUUUUCACCACAGGUCUAAAAUUCAUUGUAUUGGUCAGUCUAGAAAUGCACAUAAUGCUGACUGUGAGGUAAAAACACAAAGAGAAAUCUUUGUUUUGAGUAGCUGGGACUUACAAGUUUGGAAUAAUGUUAAUCUAUGGCCACAGAAAAAAAUCUUUUUUAAACAAUGUUCUCCUACUUGAAGGACAAUCCAUACAUCAUCAGUGGCCUUUUAUCACAUUCAUAAAAUGUUUAAAAAUCAGUCAUUUUUUGACCUACUAUGUUUUGUUUUGAAUCACAACAUUCAAAAAUUUAGAUUUACAUAUGAAAGAUGUAGUAAUGAUAGAGGAAAAGACUAAAAUUAUUAGUUAUUAAUUGAUUUUAUUAUAUAAAUUUGGGCAAGUUGUACAAGUUUGUAUAAAACAAUGGAGUUGGGAAGAUAUUGACAAUUCAGUUUUCCUCCUAAUUUCUUUCCAUGUAAAUUUUACAUGUAUUUCAUCUAAAUUUCCUUUAGGACUGUUGAGCUGUUAUAAUCAAUAUUUUUAAAACAAUAUUUUUAAUCUACUCUUGCAUUUGCUUGACGAGAGGAGCAGACUGUCUUAUGGAAUAUUUUGCCUUAAAAUUGUGGCCACAUUGGCAGCUUUGAUGUUUUUAUUAUAUUUUAUUGAUGUUCAAAACUAAGCCCUUCCAAAGAAAUCAAGUUGUUUUCAUCUUAUACAUAAUAUAUUCUCUAAGGAACAGUGUAUAAGAUAAAUCACAAUAAUGCAAGAUUUUUCUUAUCCCCAUGUUGCCUUCUACAGAGAAGGUAGUGAUAUUAACAAUAUUAAUAAAUUAAGAUUAAUGAAUUAAUGGAAACUUGUCCCUAUAGCUCUAUGGUAUAAUGUUCAAACUCGAAAAUGUUUGCAUCCUUUUUUUUUUUUUAAGUUUCUCCUAGGAAGGAGAAAAGACAGUCUCACAGUUCUCUCUCUCUCUCUCUCUCUUUUUUUUCUUUUUUUUUUUUUUCUUUUUUGGGUGUCUGCUCAAUCAGAGUUAUAAACCCAGUUUCAAGAGGCAACAAAUAUAUUUUCAGUGGAAAUGUUGCUUGCAACAUAAGCGUCAUAGACUUAUUGCAGUCUGCAUACUGUAGUAAGGAAAGGAAGCCCAGUCCAACAAUCACUGGGAAAACACAUGGGUUCUGGUCCAUCUCUGCUAUUUAGCUGUUUUGCAACCUGCAGAGAGUCCUUUAGUCUCACCAAGCCUUUGAGUCCUCAUCUAAAAUCAGGGAUAAUGUACACACCCCUGUCAAUCUGAUGGGACUCCUAGGCAGAUCAUUUGGGAAAAUUACCUGAAGGUAAUUUUAGAGCACUUAAAUGAGACACAGAGAGUGAUAUUACAAUCUGAUUUCAGUCAUCACCGAUACAAACCUUAGUGGUAUAUUUUUUACUUUACCUAAUCUUUGAAUUUAUUUUGAGAAAACUUCUGGAUUUGUUCCUCUUCUGUACUUUCUUUAUUCUCCAUUUCCCAGAGGAACUUGCUCCAUCAAUCAUGUUCUCUUUUCUAUAACUACAACCACUCUCUUUCUUUGGUGCUUUUCCCGCUAUCUUAUAAACAAUCUCAGCUCUCUCCCAGGGCCCCUGUGUGGCUCCCACCCUUUCUUAAUUCUUACCCUGCCUGCUUUAAAAGAGUAAUAUAGUUUUCUGUCUCUCCUUCCAUGCCCUCACUCAUCCCUAUGUACUCUGACUUUUGCCUGCUCCCUGCCCCAUUCCAGUGAAGCUAGUGGAGUAAGAUGAAGACGAAAAUGGCGAUGUUUCCAGUGGGCUCCUUUUACCUGUCUUAUCAGGUUUCGCCUUUAUUUGAUACAAUUAACCACUCCAGCUUUCCUGAAAGACUACUCUCUGAAAGCCCUUCCUCUAGCUACCUUACCUUUUCUUCUCAGCAUGGGCUCCUUCUCUCCUUUUUUCCCUUAGCACUUUGUUUUCUCAGAGGAUUUAGUUCACUGGUCUUCCCUGUAUAUUCUCUUCCUAGAUCCAUCUAGGAAUCAAUCACUCUCAGGGUUUUGCUUAACAACUAACUGCUGAUAAUUCUCAAAUCUCUUUCCAAUCCUGAACUUCUACAUGAACUUCAGAAUUCUCCACUGAUGGGCCAUAACCACUUCAAGUUCAGUGUAUCUAAAACUCAACUCAUUAUCUUUCCCCUAAGACAAGAUCAUUUUUCCUGUGUAUUCCUUAUAUCAGUUAAUGGCAACAUCAUCUUACCUGGUCACUCCAGCAAAAUUCCAAUCAGUUACUAAAUUCUUCCGUUUUAUCCACUAAAUAUUUCCUCAAUAUACCUCUUCUCCCUGCCUUCUCCAAACACCUCAGUUCAGGCCUACAUUAUAUCCCUGGAUAAUUGCAGUAGCAUUUAAAUUCCCUGCCUUGCCUCCUGUGUGGCCACUUCCCACUUGCAUGUGUAUAGACCUCUUCUGUUGCCACUGUGAUAUAAAAAUCUAAAUCAAAAAACCUAAAAUCUGAUCACAUCAUUACCUUCCCUAUAACCUUCCAUUGACUCCAAUAAUUUGGAGAAAGAAUAAUGUUCAAGCUCCUAAGCAUGGCACACAAGACCUUCUAAGAUCUGGCCUGUUUCUAGAAUGUGAGUCAGAUCAGCUGUAACUCCAUGUCUCAAAAUAAGAAAUUGCUUGUAGUUUUGACCUCCCACUGCACAUACACACAUGCACUUUUCCUUUUUUUACCUCUGCUUUUCAGAUUCCACUCCAUGUUAUGAAUUCAUUUUAUGUAUUAGGUACAUGAUAGUUAUUCCAUUAUUAAUUUAAUGGAAUAUUAAUUUUUAAAAUCUAAAAAAAAUUCCCACCAUUUAUUUUAUUUUACUUUAUGUUUAUUUUAUUUUUGAGAGAGAAAGAGAGAGAGAGAGACAGAGCACGAGCAGGGGAAGGGGCAGGGAGAGAGGGACACAUAGGAUCCGAAGCAGGCUUCAGGCUCUACACUGUCAGCAUAGAGCCUGAUGCGGGGCUCGAAGUCACCAACUGUGAGAUUAUCACCUGAGCCAAAGUCGGUGCUGAACCCACUGAGCCAUCCAGGUGCCCUUCUUUUUUUUUUUCCCCUUGCCAUUUAUUCAAGUAUCAGUGCACUUAUUUCAAACUCAGGUUUUGCAAAUUUGCAUAUUCUUGAGCAAUUUUUUUUAUUUCUCUGUCUUAGUUUAUUUAUGUAUACAAUUAGAAUGAUAAUGUUUACCUCAAAUAAUUAUUAUGAACACUAUCCCACAUAUAAACCACCUAUAUAGUAUGGCUCCUAGCAAAUAGCAGGAGCUCAUUAAAUGAUAGUUGAUAUUAUUAUUCCAUUACUACUUAAUAACAUAGAAAUAAUAAUAAAUGCUUAUUGGGUGAUUAUGACGAUGAAACUGUUAGUAUGGAAAAAUAAACAACUUUUGUUCUCAAAGAGAUGAACGUCUAGUGUAAAACUUAAAAUGCAAAUUUUACCUACCAUUGUAUUAUGGUCAUUUUGAUAAUACAUCGAUGUAUUUACCUGAUUUCUAAUUGGGCUAUAUUUUAAACCUAUUUAAAAUUUUUAUUCUUCAAACAGUAGAGUUUUACUGUAUUGGCUCCUUAUAUAGGUUUACUAUGGGAAAAAACAAAAGAAACAAAAACAUCUUUCCACUGGAGACUGGAGACUGUCUCAUGGCCAUGUGGUCUGAAGCAUCACCCCCCACUUCCUGUUUCACACCCCCCCACACACACAUUUCAUUCUGUGCAAUGGUUUCCAGUGUGUGAGCAAGCCAAGCACGAUUCAUUCCAUGCCCCAGUGCUACCUCAUGCCUGUCUACCAGCUAUGUCUAUUUCAGAGUUUAUUCCCUGAAAAUAUGAGAGUCAUAAAAAUCUCUAUUAAAAAUUGGAAGCUUAUUUUCCAAACUGCAUUGCUCUGGGUUGCAUUUGCAAUGAGAGGAAUUGCUUCACUGCACAGGGAUUUACAAGGCAGCUUCCAGGACUAUUUGGAUACAGAAGUGGGGUGACCCAUCUUUUCCCAGACUUCGCAGCAAGUCUCUUCAUUUUCCAAAGGUUGCUGGUUUCUUCACUCCUACUCCCAGGAGAUUUUUGUGAAGUUUACUCCAGAAAGCAGAAACUGUGUAGGAAGUAGGCACAUUAUUCACACUCAUGCUUUCCCUAGUUUGCUGCACUUUUCAUUCUUCCCAGUUUUUCACACUUUAAUAAAAUGAUGGUUUUGACUUAGAGGGAGGCGCACUUAUGGAAUUUUACCAGAUAAUUUGUAGCUAUGAAUUUCUUUAACUAAAUCUUUAUUAUCCAGUAUGGUUGUUCUGUGGCCAUCAGCUUUAGAUUUUUUUUUUUCAUUAUGGAAUUCUAAAAAUAUGGAUGGUUUCCAUAGCAAAUAAAUUCAUUUAUAGAGCUUUAAUCUUUUUAUUUAUCUUAAAUAGUAGUUGUAUGCUUAUUGCUCCUGAGGUAGAGGAACCUAUCCGAUUCAUUUAUGCUAGUUUGAAAUUAUUUUUUUAAUGUUUAUUUAUUUUUGAAAGAGAGACAGAACAUGAGUGGGGGAGGGGCAGAGAGAGAGGGAGACACAGAAUCAGAAGCAGGCUUCAGGCUCUGAGGUGUCAGCACAGAGCCCGAUGCGGGGCUCGAACUCAGGAACCACUAGAUCAUGAGCCAAAGUCGGACGCUUAACUGACUAAGUCACCCAGAUGCCCCUAGUUUGAAAUUACUUUUAAGACAUUUCUGUCUCAUUCUUUGCAGAGCUUUAUAUUGAAGAAAUGAUUAAGUUACAGUUUAAUUCAGAACACCAUGUUUUUCAUGUUAGUGCUAAUUUUUGAACUAGAAUUUCUGAUAGGAUGGGCUGGUGGACAGUGAAGUUAAUUGAUUGUCAUAGUAGAUGAACUGCAAAAAACCUGCCUAGUUUUCAGGUCUUUGGCUAUAAACACUAAAUCUCUGAAGCUUUAAAAACAAGCCUUAUACUUUAUUUUGAGAAGGCAGAAGGGUACUGGUCAUUCCAAGGUAAAUGAGUGAUUCUGAUAUAAGAACUUUCUUUUACACAAGUUUAUACUGGUAAAAAAAAAUAACCUUGGGCCCUUGAAGGAGGAACAACUGAACACUUCAUCAGAGUUCUUGUGUUCAGACCUUCAGGUGCUAUAAGUGUUAUGUCUUUCUGAGUAUUCAUACAAAAUGUCACUUCUUUCUCCAACCAUUUCCCAUAUCCCCUCAAGUCGUGGUGUCCACUGAUGAGAUUAGGCAAGGGUUUGUGCUUUUAUUUUUCUCCCUCAAGCAUCGUAAAACUGAACUGGAUUUUGCUGAGAAACAACUAAUAAAUUCCCGAACAAAUGGAAUUCUCAUUAGCCUGGGAAGAAUUCAGUCUUCUUGCAAUCUGCUUAUUUUAUUUUUUAAAAAAGUGGGGUAAUUCCUUUAUGUAGAGAAAGAGACAAAACUGAAACAGAAUUAGUGCUAUAGAGAUUAAUCAGUGAAUGCAUUUGAAGUUCCAUUGGCAAGGCUCGUGAUGGUUUGGUACACAGAGGAUGAUAAAAUAUUGAUAAUUAAACUUGUACUUUUAAAUGUUAUUUUGGCAUUUGCAGCAUAUAGAUAAGUAUGUUCCAUAAACUUGCCAAAGGAACACUUACCUGAGCUACCUUGUCUUCUUUCCACAUCUGUUCUAUGGAGGCAAUGUUGCAAAGUCCUAGAGGAAAGAGCAGGUUCAGUUCUAGAAAAACAACUUGGAAAUAGAUGACUUUUAUUUUAUUUUGCUUUGUUUUGUUUUAGGAAAAUAUGCUCUCAGCCUCCUUUCUGUUUGAAGGGAAAGCAUUCAGAAUUCUGCAUGAAAAUCAGGGUCUCACUGCAACUCCACCUGGAUGUCACCUUCCCAAAUUUUGCCUUAAAUUACAGACUUUUCCUUGGAGCCUGUUCUCCUAUCAGAACUUACUGUUUGUUGUCCUUUUCUUUCCUACUCCAUAGGAAACUAAUAUAUAAUACAUGCUCCCCUAGUUACUAUUCUUUUUUUUUUUUUAAUUUUUUUUUCAACGUUUAUUUAUUUUUGGGACAGAGAGAGACAGAGCAUGAACGGGCGAGGGGCAGAGAGAGAGGGAGACACAGAAUCGGAAACAGGCUCCAGGCUCUGAGCCAUCAGCCCAGAGCCCGACGCGGGGCUCGAACUCACAGACCGCGAGAUCGUGACCUGGCUGAAGUCGGACGCUUAACCGACUGCGCCACCCAGGUGCCCCCCUAGUUACUAUUCUAAUGCAUAGUGUUAGUAAUAUUACUCCCUUAUAAUGAGAGCCAUUAUAUGGUAAUUUGCCUUUUGCAACCUUUUUUUUCACUAUUCUCUGGCCAUCAGAAUCAGUGGACAUCAUGGCUGUGGAUGAAAACUCCAGUAUCAUCAGAUGGACUCUGAGACUCACGCUUUAGGUGGAUGAAACAUGGCUGUCCUGGACAUUCUGUACUUGCCCAUGGAAGGUUCCACAAUCAAGACAUUAAAAUCACUUCAGAUCCAUUCUAAUAGAAACUAAAAGUUGCCUUAGUAUAAUCAAAAUGGAAAUUUGCCCACCAGAUUCCCUUUGUUUCUGAAGAGGAACUUUGAGUUUCUUCAGGAUAGAACCCUAUGAUAGUGCAUCCUAUGGAAGGCAUAAAAGCAUGGAAGGAUGGGUUCUCUGUGGUUAUGUAAGGGUGCGAAUUAACUUCAUUGUAAUACACUGAAGUGUCAGGCACCAAGCUAACAUGAGACUUCAUGAUUGUAUCAUGUCUUGUGAGAUUUAUUUAGAAUUUUAAAGAGGUUGGGGAAGUUUGUGAUAUCUCUUAAUUUCUGUUCUUUAAUUCCUCUAUUUUUUUACUCUAUGUUCCUCAAAUGUAGCCAUUUUAGAAUAAAAUAAAUAAACACUACCACAAUACUAUAUCUAUUUUUUUUUUUUUUUUAGCCAAUAGCAUAUAUACUAUCAAACAAGCCUAUGGACAAAAAGGAAUAGGUCAUUGUUUCAUAGUGAGAUUUUUUUUGAUUCUGUGAAAUUCCCUCAAUUCCCGCGUAUUGCCAUUUUUCAAUACUUAGGGUUUUUAACAGUUAACAAUUUCUAUGCUUCGAAUUUCUCCUUUUCCACUCACUUUCAAUAAGCAGUUAAUAGGGCAUGGGUCUUUGGAGUCUGACAUUUGAGUCCUGACUUUGCCUGGUAACCUUGUGAACUUUAGCAGGUUGCUCAUCUUUGAGAUUCAGUUUUUUUCAUUUGCAUAUUGAAGAAUUGAGUUAAAAUUCAUGGCACUUUAUAGGCACUGAAGAAAAACAGAUAUUAUUAAUACUUUGGAUAGAUUCCCUGAUUAGGCCAUUGCAGACUGCCUUCUCCAUAACUGAAAUAAUUUCCAUCAAUCUGUUCCCAGUUACUAGGUUUGAUAGGAAAAAGUUUGGGGGGUGCAGGGGCAGAAGAGGUGGUUAGGAGGGAGAGGUAUAACUGGGAGGCUUGCAAGGGCAAUAAAGAAUUUUUAUUUAUCUCGUGUUUUUCCCUUGAGACAGGACUGUGCCCAACUCUUGAUUAUUCACAAAGCAAGUUAGGAAAAGCAAAGCAGUAAAAACCCUGAAAGUUAUACUUUGGUAUCAGGAUGCAUUUCACAAACUUGGCAGUAUACAUACUCAUUUAAUUUUAUUCUUUUUUUUCUAAUAUAAUGAUUUUGGCAACUGUUUGCAGAUUUGGUUCAGGUAGAGUUGUUCAAGAAAAGUGAAACUAUCCUUAAUAUAUAACAAUUCUGUUUACUUUCCUCAAAUUUUACUGAUGUCAAGACAUACUUAUUUGAACACUGGGCAAUGUUUUUGUGAGAGAAAGCAGGCGCCUCCACCUGGGUGGCCACUGAAGGGUAAGGAAGGCGCUGUGUGUGUGUCACUCAGCUUCUACUAACUCAACAUGGCAGUGGGACCUAGAGAGCUCUAGCCCUGAGCUGGAUGACUGGAAUAAAGUCCUGACUCUUUGCUUAUAAAUUUCUUAUAAAUACAACGUUUGGAGCCUUAAUUUCCUCAUUUAUAAAGCAGGAAUAAUAUUUUUUAUUUUAUCACUUCUCAGGUUCAAAAUAAAGAAUUCAUAGUAUGUGUGGAAAUUCUAUGGUUAGCUAGAAAGGCCAAUGUAAGGGUAGUGUUAUUAUCUUAGCAUGCCUUUGCUGUGAUGAACAGUUAGCUGAAUGCAGACUAAAUGUUUUCUUUUAAGCAAAUGAUCAUGUUAAUGCUCCAAAGGAAUAUAAGACUCUCCAUAGAAAUGAAAGAAAGCAAAGUUAGUGUUUUUUCUUUUUUUAAAUCUCGAAUUGAGGAAAGUGAAAUACCUGCUUAUGUAACUAUCUAGGAACCUCCCAAAGCCCCAGAAAAGGAGAAAAUAAGAACAGAGGCUUUGAUGUGAGGGUAAACAGAUCAGAUGGAAAAAAAAACCCACCAUGAUUCUUGUAAUAUAAUUGGACUGUAGUCUCUCUACAAGCAAAAAUGUAGCUUCCUGGCAGAAAGCUGAUUCCACUAUUAUCAUUACUUUUCCCCUAUUCAUCUCUCAUCAGGAAGCCUGUCUCAAAAUCAAAGUUAAGCUCUAAGGGCCUGUUUGUAGCAUGGUAUCUCUUUUCCCUAGGUCAGAAGGUGACUUUGAACUAAAAGUUUAAACUGGUGACAAAUAUCCACAACAAUCUGAGCCAAGUGUUUAGACAAAGGUUCCAUCAGCCCUCAGGCCUGUCUACUUUCUGGUAUAUUUUAAGACUCUCUACUUGUACAGAGAGAAACAUGCAGUUAAAGAGAUGAGGGCCUCAACUAAAUAGACUGUUACUUUCUUUCAUGAAUAAAUUGUUGAAGUAAUUUUAAAGAAAAGCUUCUAGAUUAAGACUGGAGCAGGACAGGAAACCUCAUUCUAAUUGCAGCUCUAUCAUGAACUAACUUGGUGAUUUUGUGGAAGUGACGUAAAUUCUCUGGGCCUCAGUUUCCUUCUUUGUAAAACCUGUGAUAUAUUACCCAGAGACACUUCCUGCCCUGAAAAUCUGUGACUGUAGAAGGUUUACAUAAAGUUACUUCACAUAGGUCAGGUUUGUGCUCUACUGUGAGGACUCUUGUGCAUUCUUUGGGUAGAUUGAGAUAUCACGCAUAGUCUCUGUAAACGAUGUGUUGCUGUACUUUUAAAUUAAGAUUUGAUAGUUCUUAUCCAGGUUUCUGGUUAUUCACCUAACUAUGGGUUCAUCUCAGGAGUACAACUUCCAAUUUAUAACUUUGGAAAAUGGUAUGCUUUUUAGUGAAUGGCUUUACAACAAAGUUUCUAGAGAAGUGUCUAAAAGCAAAGUUUCUAGGCAAAAUUUCUAAAAGGAGCUUAUGGAAAAAAAUUAUGGUACUAUGGCCUCAAAUUGUGUGGGUUUCGUAUAAUUUUGAGCUUUCCAACGACAGAGAAAAUAUGUAAAUGUGUCAUGCAUUGUAUUACACCAUUACAACCGUUAAGACUCCAUGUUCUUUAGAUAUUUUUUUGGCGGAAUAGGCGGUCAAAGUUAAGCAGCAUCGUAUACUCUCAAUCUCAUAACUGAUGGAUUUGUCUUUGUAGCGGGAAUGUUGUCUACUUUUCCUGACAAUUGAACCUACUAAAAUGCUAUUCUUUCCAGACUUUAAAAAAAACGAAAAAAAGGAGAAGAAGAAUUAAGAGGCUAUGGGAUUUCACCUGAGGAGUAGAUCAUGGGGUAGUCAUGCUUGUUCUUGAGUCCAUAUUUUAAACUUAUUCUGGAGUCCUUAUUAUUUUUUUGCAAUUAUGUUUGUUGGGAGAUAUGUACAUGUUUAGUUUGAAUAUCUAGAAGAUUUGAUUUGUCCCAUUGAUAUUUCUUACACACAGGACUUUUGGAACAUGCUGCAUGUCCUUUUUUUUCAGGGAAAACGAGACUCCAUUCCUAUGCUUCUUUUCCCAGUUUCCUUCCUUCAACAACACUGACUGAGUCUUGUAAACAUUUAUGUCCCCAAGUCCUGCUAGAAUUUUGCUCCCAGAUAUCCUAGGGGUAGAAAACAGCCCUUUUAAAAUUGUCUCUAUAAGAAGUAUGUGUCUAAUUCAGGUGCAUGAAAAAUUUAGGUUAAAAAUCUGAAAAGAUUAAAAUACUCACAAAUGCUCACCUCCAUGUUCAAAUCACAGAGGCCAGUGGGAAAGAACUGUCAGGUUCUAGAUGAAUGUACUCUUCGAUAAGUGAGAUCCACUUGGUCAUCUUAUAGCACUUGUCAUAAUUUACUUUUGGGGGGAAUAUAAAUCCCCCUCAAAGGCUAUUAUAAGUGUGUUAGUGACAUUAGAAUUUAAUUCAGAUGAUUCUGAAAUUUUUGACUUUUUUUAAAAAACAAAUAAUGCUGCUGGUGGUUUUGACUUGCUUUUCUCUACAGAAGAUAUUCUCACCACACACCGAUGAGGCAGUUACUUGCAUUCCUUCAUUUAUUUAUUAUUCAGUGAACAUUUACUGAGUACCUAUUGUUUACCAGACACUUUUCUGAAUGAUGCAGAAACAAAUAUUUAAUCUUUGUCCCCAGGGAGCUAAUCAUCUAAUGGGCACAAGGGAAAUAAAGGACAAUAUCAUGUGGUCUGUGCUGAGACAGAGAUAGACAGAGGAUACUAGGGGCACCAGGAAGACACCCCUACUAUUCAAUACCUCAGAGGUGGAGGGCUGGGAUGGGAGGUCAGGGAAGAUUUGAGAGGAGGGAACACCGGAGCAGAGUCAUUCCCCUGUGUUUCUUCCAUUAUCUCCUUCAUCUGCAUUCCAUCCUGUUUGUCAUACACACAAAUCCUUCAAAUCCUAAUCAGGUCUGAUGUGCAUUCUCUUAAAAACCUUUUUUUUAAAUAUUUAUUUAUUUUUGAGAGACAGAGAGAGACAGAGCAUGAGCAUGGGAAGGGCGGAGAGAGAGGGAGACACAGAAUCCGAAGCAGGCUCCAGGCUCUGAGCUGUCAGCACAGAGCCCGACGUGGGGCUCGAACUCACAAACCUUGAGAUCCUGACCUGAGCUGAAGUCGGAUGCUUAACCAACUGAGCCACCCAGGUGCCCCAUUGAAAACCUUUUUGAUUAUCCGAGAUAUCUUUGUUCUUUUUGUCUAAAUGACAGUAGUCAGCACUUCCCCUUUCUAUGACACCUUUAGCAUUCAAAAGAAACUUUUCUGUGUUGUCCAUUGUUUUAGUUUCAUUUAUCAAUAGAUGUUAUUGAUCUUUAGUUUUAUCAUCUGCUCCUUGAGAAUAAAGAUGGGUAUUAAGGAGGGCACUUGUUUUGAUGAGCAGCAGGUGUUGUAUGUAAAUAUUGAAUCACUAAAUUGUACACCUGAAUCUGAUACUACGCUGUGCAUUAACUAACUGGAAUUUAAAUAAAAACUUAAAAAAAAAAAAAAAAGAAGAAGAAGACAAUCUCUCAAAUCCCAGAAAGUUAAAUACAUUUUUUAUUAUUUUUUAAAGUUUUAUUUAUUUAUUUAUUUAUUUAUUGACUCUUAAUUAAUUAAUUAAUUUUUCAAUAUAUGAAAUUUAUUGUCAAAUUGGUUUCCAUACAAUACCCAGUGCUCAUCCCAAAAGAUGCCCUCUUCAAUACCCAUCACCUACCCCCCCCUCCCUCCCACCCCCCAUCAACCCUCAGUUUGUUCUCAGUUUUUAAGAGUCUCUUACGCUUUGGCUCUCUCCCACUCUAACCUCUUUAAAAGUUAAAUACAUUUCCAGUACUAUGCAUAUUGUAGAUACUCAAUAAAUAUUUGUGGUUAAUAAGUUAAGCAAAAUAGGGGCACCUUGGUGGCUCAGUCGGUUGAGUGUUCAAUUCUUGAUUUUGGCUCAGGUCAUGAUCCCAGAGUCUUGGGAUCUGGCUCUACACUGAAUGUGGAGCCCGCUUAAGAUUUUCUCUUUCUUGCUGUCUCCCUCCCUUCCCCACUGCCCCUCUCCCCAGCUCACAUGCUCUCUCUUUCUCUCCCUAAAAAAAAAUUAAAAAAAUAAUUCAAGCAAAAUAUAUUUUUUGAUGGUUCAAAAUCAAGUGGCUUCUCUCAGUUAAUUAUCAGAUUGUUUUCUAAUUAUAUUACUCAAUCUUGCCUAAGCUGUUAUAUAAAUAGUAAACUUAGGUGGAAUCAGCUUUUAUGUAUAGGUUAGCUAUCUUUGGUGGCUUUUUGUCUGAAGCCUCAUAUAAAUACAUACUUCAAAGCCUACAUAUUGUGUACAAAAUAGAAACAAAAGUUAAUUUUAUAAUUUAUCUAUUUAUAGUGACUUUAGUCAGGCUUUAGGGACACAAAGAUGAUUUAACACACUAGCUGGUAUUUAAGGAACAUCCAUGAUGAGGAGAAUCAACAUAUGAACAAAAAAGUGAAACAGAAUGUAAUAAAUUUGGUGAAAAAGAAUGGCAUAGAGGUAUCUACUCUAAUAUAGCAAGGGUUGGUUUCCUGGAGGAGAGAGACCCCAAACAUAAAUGAUGGAUGUGUGCUAACCAGCAGAAUGGAGACAAGAGAGGAGCAAGAGGGUGCAUCUAGUUGGGGAAAAAAGACAUGAAGAAAUACUAAGAAGUAUUAAUCAGCAUUUCUUUGCAGGAAAACUGCAGAAAACUGCAGCUACUUUCCUGUCUUGGUGCAUAGAAUGGAAGGCGUAAUCAUCUCAUUCAUUAUUAGAAAUAUGAUUUUGAGGCGGGGCACCUGGGUGCUUUAAUCGGUUAAGCAUCUGACUCUUGGUUUCAGCUCAGGUCAUGAUCUUAUGGUUUGUGAGAUCGAACCCCUGUGCUGACAGCAUGGAGCCUGCUUGGGAUUCUCACUUUCUCCCUCUCUCUCUACCCCUUUCCCACUCGUUCUCUCUCUCUCCCUCCCUCUCUCUCAAUAAAUAAAUAAACUUAAAAAAAAAGAAAUGUGAUUUUUUUAGACAAUUUAUUGAUUGAUUAUUUAUAAAUUCUGUAUUUAAUAGUAGUAGAGAUAACAGAUAAAGAUUAUUAUUUUUUUCCUUUAGCCAUUAAAAAGCUGACUUGUGGGCGCCUGGGUGGCGCAGUCGGUUAAGCGUCCGACUUCAGCCAGGUCACGAUCUCGCGGUCCAUGGGUUCGAGCCCCGCGUCAGGCUCUGGGCUGAUGGCUCAGAGCCUGGAGCCUGUUUCCGAUUCUGUGUGUGUCUCUCUCUCUCUGCCCCUCCCCCGUUCAUGCUCUGUCUCUCUCUGUCCCAAAAAUAAAUAAAAAACGUUGAAAAAAAAAUAAAAAAAUAAAAAAAAAGCUGACUUGUGAAGUGAUGAAGAAACAUAGAACCAUCGUUGAGAUAGGAGGUAGAGUCAAGUGAGGAUGUUUGUGUUAUUUUAUUUUCAAAUGACAGAAUGGGAUGUUUAUAGCCUGAAAGAAAGUGUCCCAGGGACAGAGAGAUCUUGAAAAUACAGAAAGAAAGGGCAAUGGUGAUUGACCAGCAUAUAGAAAGGCACAGUUUUGGUGUAAAGGUAGAGAUUAGCCUCGAAGAGAUGAGGGGAUAUUACAUCUUUGACACUAGAUGCAAGGAUGCAAAGAUACAGAUGUAACUUCAGGUGAAAGCAGUCUGUUGAGGGUCCCAGAGGUGGGAGUGGAAGGUUGGGAUAGUUCAUGCUUGAUACAUCAACUAUUUUUAUUGCCUCAAUUAUUUUAUUUUUUAAAUAUUUAUUUUUGAGAAAGAGAGAGACAAAGCAUGAGUGGGGGAGGGUCAGAGAGAGAGGUAGACAGAAUCUGAAACAGGCUCCAGGCUCUGAGCUGUCAGCACAGAGCCUGACGCAGGGCUUGAACCCACAAACCACAAGAUCAUGACCUGAGCCCAAGUAGGGCUCUCAAACAACUGAGCUGCCCAGGCGCCCCUAUUGCCUACAUUAUUUUAAUGCUUAGUUACUUGAAUGCAUCAAUGUAAUUCAAUACAAAAUUAAUUUAAUGUAAUGUAAUUAAUUAAAUUACAUAUCUUGGACUGUCCCUCGAGACUAUUCUAACUGUUGCUCUGUUUGUGCUAACAUGAUGAAGAUUAAAUUAUCAGUAAAUUAUUUGUUUUGAGAACGUUGGUUCAAUGUCAGAGAGUUGCUCAAAAUGCUUCUGCAUGAUGAUGCAUAAUGUUUCUUUUCCCAACUGGGUGACGUGCUGUUCUUUUGGGUAGUCAGCUUCAACUUUCUGUCAGUCCCUAACUACCCCUACCUGCCCUCACUGCAUGUUACUAGAUCCCAAUGAUAAAAGAGAUUCACUUUCUCAGAGGUAAGGCUAGGGUUUUCUGUACUGGCCAGUGAUCUAUAUUCAGUUGACAUUUGUUUGUAGAGUUUUCUGCUUCUAUAAGUAAUAUCACACUAUAGGUAGGACUGUACAGUUCACAAAGUACAUUUACUCAUUUGAUGCACACAUAAAACCCAAGUACCUUCGCUUGCAGAUGAGAAAACUGAGACUCACAACAGAUAACAGAUAAAUAAUGCAGUGGAUUUUGGACAGGGCUAUAGAACUUAGGUUUUCUCACUCCUGAUCCAUGGCUCUUUCAAUUGUAUCUUAUAGAAAGGAGAAAAGGAAGGGAGUGAGACAGCUUUAGUCAACAAGAAAAGCACCCCACCCUAUAUGGAAAUCAUUUUUGUUUAGUGCUGGAUUCUUAGAGACCUCAGUGAGACCAAACCUGUGGCAGGCAAUGAUUAGGGGAAGUAUUAUUCGAUCUUGAAGAAGUUUAGAUUUUUUUUUUUUUUUUUUUUUAGAUUUUAUUUUUUUCAGACAUGGAAGUUGGGGAUUUUCAUGGAGACCUAUAAUGAGGAAAUAACCAAGCGACUUUUAAUUUACCCAACUAAAAAUGUUACUUGAGAUGAAAUAGGAAACCUUGUAAGCAGGAGUCUGCAUAGAGAUGAAAACAGAUGUAAUCACAAGAUGUGCUAUCGGGUAAGAGCCAAAAAUGACUUUUGGAAAGAAAAAAAAUAUGCGGGUUUAGCACUCAGUGAGACACCUCUAAUUAUUAGGCUUUCUGUCCUGGCUUUAUAUACUCCAUUUAUUAUAAAAUUAAUUUUAAAAAGUCACUGGCCAGAUAUUAUUGUGUGCUCACUCCCUCAGAGUCUGGAUUCUAAGCGCCAGGUCAGACACUAGAAGUAGAAAGAAAAAUAAGAAAUGGUCUUCUUACUUACAGAGUCCCAAUAUGGGAGAUACAACCAGCUGUAAAACUUUGUAAAGAGAACUGAUAGAUAGGUAACAGCAUGCAUGCAUAUCUGCCUACGCUGGUAUAUAAAUUAGUUAAAAUCUAUAAAAACCAGACAUCUGCUAGGGGAGCUUGGGUAGCUCAGUCAGUUAAGCAUCUGACUUUGGCUCAGGUCUUGAUCUAACUGUUUGUGAGUUUGAGCACUACAUUGGGCUCUCCACUCUCAGUGUAGAGCCCGCUUUGGAUCUUUUGUCUCUCUCUCUCCCUGCCCCUAUGCUGCUCUCUCUCUCUCUCUCUGUCAAAAUAAAAACAAAGCAGAAUUUGCACCAAACGUUUUCGGUAGAAGGAUCUCCAGUGAAAAUGUUUAUUUGCUAAGAAAAUGUUUUCCUCCUUCUGGGUUGCCUAGGUGGCGUCUGGGUGGUGUCUGGGUGGCGUCUGACUCUUGAUUUUAGCUCAGGUCAUGAUCUCCUGGUUGUGAGAUUAACCACCUCCCCCCCCCCCCCCGCCACUCCCCAGUCUGGCUCUGUGCUGACAGUGAGGGAUUCUCUCUUUCCCUCUCUCUCUGCCACUCCCCACUCACACUCUCUCAGUCUCUCUCUCAAAAUAAAUAAAUAAACAUUAAAAAAGAAAGAAUUUGAAAAAUAAAGUUACUCAUGAGAGAUUUAGCAAUAAAAACUUGAUUUCUCCUUUAAAAAAAUGAAAAUAUUUUCUUCCUUCUGUAGUGACAUUUUUUAUCAUAAUAUUUUUUCACCAUUCCAUGAAGGUAGUUACAAAUCAGUUAAAAAUUUAAUCACCUGCAGAAAUGUUUUACAUUUGUGUAAAUGCUGCCCAUUGAUAAUCUAUAAUAACAAAUAUUUGACUUAUGUGUACUAAGCCAUGUACUAUAGUUACUUAAUCUAUGUAUUUAGUAACAAAUUCAGAACUAGAAGUGUAAAUGCUGCCCAUUGAUAAUUAAUCAAACUAUAGUAACAAAUAUUUGAUUUCUGUGUACCAAGUCAUGUGCUAUAUGGUGUACUCAACUUACAUAGUUAGUUAGUAGUAAAUUCAGAACUCGAAGCUGUGGUUCCUAACCUUAGGAAGUUUCUAAUGUAGUUUCAAAGUAAACAUUUGAAAUAAUUAAGCUAAGAAAUAGGAUAUAUAAGCACUGAACACAAAUACAUUAAUUUUUGAAAAUAAGCCUGGAGUAAAUUUAGGAAAGGGAAGUGUUGGCUAGAGCUUUUACAAAAUGAGAGGUUUCAGAGAGGAGGCAGGCAGGAGAAUAGGGUGUUGUGAAAGCCAACAGAAAGGUUCUUAGAGUAACUGUAAUUGUGUCACAGAGGUCCGAGGGAAGGGUGAAGGAAGAAAGGUAGGGAACCAGGCAGUAUGGAGUUUUCUGAUGACCUUUGAGAGAAUAGUUGUCCAAAUAGUUAGGAACCAAAACAAAAUUUGCAGAGGUUAGACUUCUUAUACAUUCUAAUAUAUUGAUUUCUGAACUAAUUUCAUAUAGUAGUUAUUUAAGUCAUAUAUUGAAAUAAAAUUCUAAUCAGCUAAUUUAUUUCUUUACCAUUUUCUUUCUGUUUUUUAAGUUCUAUACUUUUUCUAAAGGACUUACUGGAUAUUAUUAAUGAAAUGAAGUGUCCAGUCUGUUGGUGUUCCCAUAAUGUUAAUAUCUUUAGUGCUAAGAAAUAAUUUGUAGUGCUGAUGAGGUACUGUACAAAAGUAGAGGACUGUGAUCAAUGGGCUAUACUUGAAAAUUACAUAAAAUCCUUCUUGGGUUGAUGAUAUUUAAUCUAUAUGUGAUAAGAAUACUUGUUUUAAACUAACACAAAUUUCCAUAGAUUCGUCAAUAAAGUCAUUACUAUGGAGUAAGUCAAUGCACAUACCUUCAGUAUUACCAUGCAGAUUCUCAGAGAUCCUCCUAUUAAUUACUGACAUGAUUACCUAAAAACUGUGGCUUUCUAAUUAAAGUUCAACAAGCAUUUUGUUGGACAUGUGUUCAGGUAUUGUGCAAGGCUAUGGGAAUACCACAGUUUGAGACACAUUCGUUAUUCUCAUUGAAUUCAUAGUCAAGAGAGAGAGGGAAAACCAGCAUAUAGAAUGUGAAUGUUUUAAAAAUUAAGUUGUCACAAACUUUUUUUCUUAGUUAGAUAAAGAAAUAGUCACAUAUUAUAGUUAAUAUCAGAUGAAAAGUUUAUUAUUUCAGCGAUUUCAUUGAUGGUAGAAUGGUAAGUUGUUUCUUCAAACCAGGAUGUACCAGGGAGAAUAGGGCAUUUUGACCAAAGUCUUGGCAAAGUUUUAUUUCAGACAAGAAUACCACAAAACAUUUAGUUCACUGAAGAAUUAGCCCACAUUUUAUUUUUUGUCAUUAAAAGCACAUUACAUUCCAAAUUUUCUGUUACUGGUACAUGUGAAAUCCACUUUGAAGUAGACAAUAGUCUGGGUUGGGGUUCUAUGUUGCCUGUUCUGCCCAGUCAUUGUUGGCAAAGUGGUACAAGUGUCACUUCUAGUGGGAGAAGAUAGCAGAAUCCUGUGUGAUUAUUGUCCAGGAUGAAUGAUAAAAUUAUAUUUCUGUUCUUUUUGGACCUUUUUUCAAAUGUCUUUAACAUGCUCGAAUUAGUCAAUGAAUAUUUUAAAUUUUUCUGUACCACUGUUGCGGGCUUUUUUCCUUUUGUUUUGGGUUAAAUCUCUAGAUGUGUUAUUAUUUGCAUAUGCUUUGGUAAACACAGAAGAAACAAUUUUUUUUAAGUUACUAAAUUAGUACUGCUUUUAAUGUGAUUUAAUAGUUGUUUGUAUUUACAUCUUUAUAUACACACACUAUAUAUAUAUAUGGAGGAGAGAGAGAGAGAUCUGUAUAUAUUUGUAUAUAAUUUUCAUUAAACGGUACAGAAUGUUUAACUGCUUGCUUCAUUAUAGCCUGAGUGCUGAGUGCUGUCCACUGGGGAGAUGGAUGAAAAAUAUACAAGGUGGUCAGAGCCAUUACAUAGUCAUAUUAACAGUUGCCUCGGCUGAAUUUCCAUUUUGUUACCAGAUGUUAUAUUUUAGCUACCAUGGCAACUAAUCCUCAAUCAUAUUUUCACUAUUUUAUUGCAAAUUAUUAGAGUAACUUAAUAGAGCAUAUGCUUAUUAUAUUCCCUGGUGUAAAUUAAUACUGGAUUUUGUUCUAGCUGUUUUGGAAGUUUCAGAUGAUAAUGUAAUUUUACACUGUCAGUUUAAUGGAAUCUAUUCUUAGAUAACAGAUUGAAAUAUUUGGUACAAAAAUAUAGUUGGGACACAUCAAUAUAUAUCUUGGGAUAUACAAAAAUUACAUUAUUUUUUUCUAUUAAUGCAUCAAUGUGUGAUAACAUUCUGCUUAUUUAAUGCAUAUGUCUCACUGGGGCAGUCUCUAACAAAGCAAAAUAACCAGACUCUUACAGAAUUAAUAUAUGAGGGUGAGGCCAUCAAUACAUCUCAGAAAACUGAGCAUAUUUGAAAGUUCCAAGUCUUGACAAGUCCUUGUGAAAAGGAAAUAUGUUGAAAAGAAGACACAAUAUGUUGGCUUGUUUCCGAUAUAAUAUAUAUUAUAAUUUUAUGGUGUUUUUUAUUCUUUUAAAGUCCUAUGGUCUUCAAAAUCCAUAGCCAAAAAUUGUUUCCCUAAAAAAGGAAAGUUAAAAUUCAUUUAUUUAACAAAUAUUUAUUGAGUGUAAUGUGACAGACACAUUCCUGAGUUCCGGGGAUACAACAGUGAAUAGGCUUCUGACCACAUGGAACAGGAAUUCUCCUGCAGGGUAUGGCUGGCAAAUAAGAGCCGUCCAAAGAUGCCUGAGUUCUAAUCCCUGUAACCCAUGGAUGUGUUACCUCAGACAGCAAGGGAUAAUUAAGUUUACAGAUGGUAUUGUGGAGACUAAUUAGCUGACUUUAAGAGAGAGAGAUUAAGCUGCGUUAACUGGGUGGGCCCAAUGCAAUCAGAAGGAGGCGGAAAAGAUGCAGUUGCAAAAGAUGUGACGAUGAAAGCAGGGAUCAGAGUCAGAGAGAGAGAUUUGAAUAUGCUACUCGGCUGGUUAUGAAAAUUAAGGCUGGGUCCACGUGUCAAGGAAUGCAAGGAGCCUCUGGAAGCAGGAAAAGGCAAAGUGAAUGGAUUCCCUUCUAGGACGUCUAGAGAGAGAGCAGCCGUGAGGACACCUUGAUUUUAGCCCAUUGUAUCUCAUUUCAGACUUCUGACCUCUAGAACUGUAAGAUAACAAAUCUGUGUUGUUUGUCACAACCGCAGUAAGAAACUAAUACAACAUGAAAGAGGAAGAGGGAAUUGGCUGGAAGAACCAGAGAAACAGCAGUGCGAGAUGGACUGCCUAAUGUCACUGGCUUUGAAGCUGGGAUGCGACAAGGAGCCAAGGAAUGUAGGCCACCUCUAGAAGCUGACAAAAGCAAUGCAAUUAAUUACCCCACUAAAGCCCAUGGGAGGAAUGCCAACCCCUUGAUUUUAGCCAGUGAGACUCAUUUGGGACUUUUAACCUCCAGAACUUUAAGAUAAAAAAUCGGUGUUGUCUUUAAGCCACUAAGUCUGUGAUAGUUUGUUAAAAGAAACAAUUGAAAAUCAAGACAACAGGAUAAGACAAUAUAUAAACAAAAUAUUUCUUUAAAAAAUAGAUAAUUUUUGAUAAUAAUUGGCAUAAAGGAGUUAAAACAGAGUAGGGUUCUGGAGUUCUGUGGUCCAGUAUAAUAUAUACUAACCACUUGUAGCUAUUUAAAUUAAAUUAAACUAAAAUUAAUUAAAAUCUAAGGGCUAUCAGUGUGGCUAGUGACUACUGUAUGGGAUAGUGUAGAUGGUAGAACAUUUCCGUCAUCACAGAAGAUUCUCUUGGAUAGUGCUGUUCUGGAGAGUGGCACUACUUUGCAUAAGGCAGAUUCAGUUUGUGUGAAGAUCUGAAUGAUAAGAGGGAAUUGGGCAUGUGAAGGGCCAUGGGAGGGGCACUGCAGGUUGAAGGAGCAAAACGCAAAGCCAUAAGUGCCUGGUCAUUUUGUGGAACUGAUUAACCCGGGCAAAAACACAACUCACAUCAAUGGAAGAAGCGAAAGUAGGAGUCAUGAAUUGUGGUUCACCCAGCAAAUGAGGUUCAUCUCUAGUAAACUUUAAGUCCUGCUACUAAUAAGUCUUGAACUAGAACUUUAUCUUGAUAGUACAUGUUUUUUGUUGUUGCUAUAUAUUCAUUUCACUGUUCUUUUGCAGUUUACAUUAGUGUACUGACUUUCAAUGAUCAUGUCUUAUGUACUAAAAAAGAAAAGAGUUUCUGGGAUGGUUGUUUCCUUUAAGGAAUCCAGAGAAUUUGUGUGUGUGUGUGUGUGUGUGUGUGUGUGUGUGUGUGUGUGUGCGUGCGCGUGUGUGUGUGCUCACGCGUGUGCUUUUUUGAGUGUUUGAUCAUUUGUUUUAAUUUUUUCCUUUUAAACUCUUUUACUUCAGGAUGUUAUAACACUGAUCCAUAAAAUAUGUAAUUAUUAACGUGAUAGAAAGUGCCAGAGUUUGCAGUCAGUGGGUUCCAAUAUAACCAGGGAAUAUUGGAAAGCUGUUACUCAAAGGUAAUGUGGAAUCUCAGGGGGUCUAUAUGGGAACUACCUUUUAAGGCAAAUGCAUCUUACCGGUGAAAGUGAUGGAAGAUGAUUUCCAGAUGUUGAAAUGCUUGUUUUGGCAACUGCUACAGAAAACUGAAGCACGUCUUGCCAGAACAACCAGAAGGGAUGUGAAGCACUGAUGUAAGAGGGAUCAGGCACACAGCAAGCAAAGCAAGCAGAACCCAGAAAGUGUAGAUACAGGGAAGAUAGUUGAGCCAAGAAAACAAGAUCUGGAACUCCAGUUAGUUGCAUGUAGUGAAAGCAUGUUUGCUUCUGUCGUGGGAUCCACACACAUGCUUACCACUGCUAUACACUCCACUUACCCCUUCCUCUACCUUCAUUAUCUUUCCUGUAAAAAUUGAUGUUAAUAUUUUAAUCAGGGAAACUCUUCCCAGCUAAUUUGUUUGUUAGAUAUUAUGGGGUUCGUAAAGCAUGCAUGGCUGGAGUUAAACAUGUUUGUCUUCAAAUCCUGGGUUCAUUAUUUACUGCCAGGGUGACCUUGACUGAAUUGCUUAACCCCUAAACGGUCCAAUUUUUUCAUCUAUAGAAGGGAGGUUAUAAUUUCAUUGCCAAAGUCCUAUUGUGAGAAUCAAAUGAAAUAAUGUAUGUGAAGUACACACAUAAAUAAAUUUCUCCUCCUAUCUGCGCCCGCCCCCCCCACUGGCAACAAACCUCCAGAAUUCACAUGUUUUUGUCCAGUUAGGAAAAACAUUUUCAGAAGACAUCUGAGAAUUGAAUAUAAUGUUGGCAGACUCAUAGAUCAGAUAUUUUUAGCCAGGUUGGCUUUUUCUAAGCUCUUGUAAUAGAAUCACAUAGGCAGCCAGGUAUUCUGUCUACAUAUCAGGCAUUCCUUUGGGAUUGUUUCCUAAAAGGUGAAGAAAAUAGGAAAAUAAACAUCCAUCCUCAUUGGAGUAUUUCCUUUUACACACCAGAUGUCCAUUGUGCUUCUUUUACUCCAAUAUUUUUUUAACCUGUGUGUUGACUUUAAAAAGUAGACUGUUAAUUGUCAUCCCAAACUAGUCAACCAGUUCCAAGCAGUUCAAGAUAAUGAAAUUUGCCAUCUGCCACCAUAUCUUGGUGAGAUCUUGGACUUUCAUUUCUAAAUAAUUUUGAUUUCUCCCCUUCCCUCUAUCACAUUCUCUUCACUAGAUCUUUUCUGAAAUAGAGAUUUUUUUUUUUUCCCAAUCUCUGUGCUAAACCUGGUCCCAGACCAGAAAAGGCCAGAUUCUUCCAAAAGGCCAGCCUCUGCAAGAGUUGGAACCUAAAAACCUAAUUCAUACUCCAACUAUUUUCCCAAGGGGUGGAGUAACGGGAGCCAGGAUAACAGGAAGAGAUCCUGUGGGGAAUUAGCUCAUUCCACACCUGGACAUCUGGCCGUGUUCCACUGUGAAUUUGCUGGGGAAGCUUUGAAGUCUAAAUUUUGAAUUGAGCUACAUUGUGUUUUGAUCUGCUUGCCACUUCAAAUUAGCACAUUAGUUGCCCUGCCCUUUGUCAUCCUAAUUUCUCUGAAGAAGCAUCACAGAGAUACAAUUCAGAAUUUUUGGUAUCAUGACUUCAUCAUAGAAUGCUGACCUUGCCUAUUAUUAUACUUGGAAUUAGAAGUUUUUAGCAUAAAUCCUAGCUCCUCCACCUACUAGUUGCAUGAUCUUCUAUUUUGAAUCAUGCACAUUGACCUCAGGACCUCACAUCUAUAAAACAUAGAGGAUAUAAAAUACUUGUUCUGACUACUUUAUAGUGUAUGACGAUUGAAUGAAUCAUGUGCGUCAAAGUACAUAAAACAGAGUAGAUGACUCUCAUCUCAGUUCUCUGAAGUUUUGAAUUAAUCUGUCCACAUUGCAUUGUAAUUACUUGACUCUCUCUCCUUAGUGACUAAAGGAGAGAUAAUUUUUUUUUCUGUGUAUUUGUGUCAACCCCAAUACCUAGCAUAUGCUUGGUCCAGGAGAGGUAUAUGGAACAUUCUUAUGAGUGGGGUCCCUGAUGUCUUGCUGCAACAAAUCCACAUCUCAGGCUACCUCCUUGUAUGUAAUUUUGAGCAAGACAAUUAACCUUACUAAGUCUUAAUUCCUUCAUCUGUAAAAUGGGAUGAGGGUCACUGCUUACCUAAUUCCUUUAUCAGAGAACACCUAAAGCAUUUAACCCAAUUCAUGGUAUGGAUUAAACUUACAAAAUUUCUUAGCUUUUGUUUAUUUGUUUGCUUGUUUGUUGAGAGAGAGCAUUAGCAGGGCAGGGGCAGAGAGAGAGGGAGAGACAGAAUCUUAAGCAGGUUCCACACUCAAUGUGGAGCCCAACACAGGGCUUGAUCUCUUGACUGUGAGAUCAUGACUUGAGCCAAAAUCAAGAGUCAGGGACUUAACCAACUGAGCUACCCAGGCACCCAGGUUUAUUUUUAUUAUAGGUACUCAAUACUUAAAAAAAAAAUGUGACCAAUGAGAUUUUCUGUAACCUAAUACAAAUUUUCUUCUAUACUAGAUGAUUAUGCUUUUUUUUUCUCCUAGAAGUUUGAAAACAGUUUUAUGCCUUGAAUUAUAAGGUUUUAUCUUUUUAAGGCUCUUCAGUAAACACUGAAUGGCAUUGUUUUCUUUUUAAUGUAAAUACUAGGAUCAUAGACCCAAGGAUACAGUUUUCAGAUGAACUUCAUAGUUGCAUGUUUUUUUAAAAAAACAAAAUGGCUUUUAAAAUAAAAAUGGCUUUUACGUCGUUUCUUACUAGGAUAUAGUUUUAUCAAAGCUAUUAAGAAGCAUGUAAGAUGUGUGCAGUCAGUUGAAAAACUCAGUUAUAGCAGAGCUUUGAAAAUAAUAGUAGAGAAUAAAACUUGAGAAGGUACUCUAGUGGUUUUGAAGUUAAGAACGUAUGAAAAAGGGACACCCGGGUGGCUCAGUCGGUUAAGUGUCCGACUCUUGGUUUUGGCUCGGGUCAUGAUCUCAGGGUUGAUGGGUUCGAGCCCUGAAUUGGGCCUCUGUGCUGAUAGUGUGGAGCCUGCUUGGAAUUCUCUCUCUCUCUCUCUCUCUCUCUCUCUCUCUCUCUCUCUCUCUGCCCCUCCCCUGGCUUCAGCACUCUCUCUCUGUCUCUGUCUCUUUCUCUUUCUCAAAAUGGAUAAAUAAACUUAAAAAAAAGAAUGUAAGGAAAAGUUAUAGAGGAAUAUAUGUUUUUAUGGUCUUUUAAUUUAAUUAAAACACACCUUGAUUUUAAGAUUUUAAUUUAAAUACAUGUUGGCAAUCCAUUGUGGAAGGAGAGUAAGCUAAGUGAUAUGGCAUUUUAUAAAAGCAAUGGCUAUAUGUCAGGUUUUUAUUUAAUUUGCAGGUUAUCUAGACCAUCACUUCUCUUUAAGCAUUUUACAUGCAUUCAUGUCUUUAGUCAUGGAUAUAAUAGAAAAUAAGACAAUCAAAACACAAUUAUUUUCAUUAUUGCUUUUCUUGAGAGGAUCUGUUAUCUAGAUUAUAAGUGUCUUCAGUCUGAAGAUUGCUUCAUUUGUCAUUAUGCCUUUAUUAUAUAUAAACAUAAAAUAAUUUUGGGACUGACUACAAUACCAUUUUCCAUAGAGUUCAUUUUAGUUUAAAGAAAGUAUGUUUUGGAAGUAUGUCCAGGGAAGAAUAUGAUAAUUCUUUUGUAAUUCAAAGGGUGAAGUGAUUGAGUUCAUAUCAGAGAAGAUAAGAAGGGAAGAUAACAAGGUAGGGUCCCUGUUAGUGUGUCUUAUAAAAUAUUUGAAGGGAUCUUCUGUGUAGAAAUGAAUUAGAUUUAUUUCUUAUAACUCUAACAGACCAAGGUAGCUCCGUGUAGUAGAAAGUGUAGGUAGGUCAAUUUUGGCUGCCAGGUAGUGCAUACAAUGUCGAUUAAAUUACAUUAAAGAGGACUCUGCUCAGUAUUUAUAUAUAGAAACCCUCUCUAAAAUGACAUGUGGAAUUCCCUAGGAAGAUCUUGGUAAUGAGUUGACUUAACUAAAAAUAGAAUGGGCUCCAAUCAAGGUGGUAAAUUUUCCAUCUCUGGAAGCAACCAAGCAGAGGCUUUAUAGUAGCUUAGGGAUGCUCAGAAGGAAUUCCUAAGAAAUUGGACUAAGUAACUUCUUGUUCUCUUCUGAUGAUUUGUGUAAAUGAAUUCAUGUUCAAGAAGCCAAAGACAAGCUCCAUAAGUUCAUUCCAGAAAAAAGAAUGGACAAUAGAGUUUUCAACAAAAAUCAUGGAACAUUUAUUAAAUAUAUGAAACUCUUUAUCUUUUAAAGAUUUUUUUUUUAAUGGAAGUGAUGAAAUCCAAGCCUGGUUUAUUUAUUUUUUUUAAUUUUUUUUAACGUUUAUUUUAUUUUUGAGACAGAGGGAGACAGAGCAUGAACGGGGGAGGGUCAGAGAGAGGGAGACACAGAAUCCAAAACAGGCUCCAGGCUCUGAGCUGUCAGCACAGAGCCCGACACGGGGCUUGAACUCACGAACCGCGAGAUCAUGACCUGAGCCGAAGUAGGCCGCUUAACCGACUGAGUCACCCAGGUGCCCCCCCAAGCCUGGUUUAGAUUAAAGUGAAAAAUAAUGGUAAACCACAGAGACAACUUACAUUUCAAAUUAACAUUUUACUCUUUGAAACCUUUUAUUUAUUUAUUUUUUAAUGUUUAUUUAUUUUGAGAGAGAGAGAGAGAGAGAGAGCGCACGAGCAUGAGUGGGGGAGGGACAGAGAGAGAGGGAGACAUAGAAUCUGAAACAGGCUCAGGGCUCUGAGCUGUCAGCAUACAACCCAAUGUGAGGCUUGAACUCACAAACUGUGAGAUCAUGACCUGAGCCAAAGUUGGAUCCUUAGCCAACUGAGCCACCCAGGCACCCCUUAAUCUUUGAGAACUUUUAUGGGUCUUUAAAAUUUGCAUCUUCAAAUAUUGUCCCAAAGAAUUCUAGUUGACUAAAUUUCAAAUAGACACCCCUUCUGUGCACUGUGUCUCAAGGAUUUUUAUAUUGACCUAACAGAAUGAGAUUUGUGUUUGUGGCCUUAUAUGUGACAAUUAGCAUGAACUCUGUUCACUUCCUUUGCUGUUACUUGUCAUCUGAGAACAUUUUGGAUGUAAUUUAUUGCCUGUUAAGCCAUCUCCAAAGUACAAUUGUAAAAUAGGAAACAAUCACAACCGUUUAGUGGCUAAACAAUUGCUUGCUUUCAUUUGACCUUGCUGUGUUCUGUGAGUCUGUUAGUUUGAUUCCUGGAGGCACACAGAUUGUUCAGGAAUGUUUGCCAGUAAUGAGUGAGGGCUAGUUUUCCAUAUUGACCUCAUACAUAAUUACAUAAAUUAAAGCAAACCAUAACAACUGAGGAUACACAUAAAAUAUACUUCACAGAGGGAUUUUAAAGCCCUUGCUUUGCACUAAGCUUGAAAUUACAUAGCCAUAUAGGACAUAUAUCAUUUUUGAAAAGUGUAUGUUUUCAGUUUCUACUAAGACUUUACAAAGAACACUGAAUAAAAGGUUCUAUUUUAAUAAGUGUUACCAUGGAGUUUUUUUCUCUAGAAAAAUUGUUUAUGGAAAAAGAAUAUUGGUAUAGAAGGUCACAUUUUAUUCUGGAGGUUAAUGAUUUGAUAAUGGAAUUUUCUAAUGCUAACCUUCCAAACUAUCUUGAAACCACUAAAUACUUAAGAAGCAAAGGGGAAAUGUAGAGUGUAGAUCUUAACUCACUAAAAAAAUCAGUCAUUUUUAAGCAUUUAUAGUUUCUUCAUUUUCUGCAUUUUCAGAAUAUGUUGAUAUUUAGCCAAGUCUAAUUUAAUUUUGUAAUCAACCUUUAUCAUGUGUAAUUUGGGUUUUGUUUUUUUUUUUUUUUGGUUAAUAGUGUGGUGGAUUAUUAUUUUUUAACAUAAAGUAUUACAUUUGUUUUGAUUCUGUUAGACUUCUGCCAAUGAAAUUGCAUUUCAUGUGGCUAUUAAAAGUAUCAUAGACUUUCAGAAAUAAAUGGAAUUUAGAUCCAAUAUCAAGUAUAUUAGUAAAUAUUUCACAUUAGGGAAAGCCAAAAACUUUAGUAAUCAAUCAAAUAUUGUUACAAGGUUAUUAAUCAGCAAGUAUUACUGCAUUUAUUUCACUUCUAAAACAGUCUUGUUUGAAGUUUGUAGAAAUUUAGUUCUAGUUGUUUUCAUCACUAGCUUCUGAAGAUGUAACGGUGAGAAAAUCUUCACAAAAAUUUAGUAUCAACUUUUCUUUUUGAUAAAAAGAGAGUGAAAUUGCCUUGAUGGAGGGAUAACAUUUUCCAUUAUUUCCAACGUUUAUAGAGUGCAAUCAGUAUUUCUUAUAGAAAACCAUAUCACAAUUAAAAUUAGCUUAAUUAGCAUUCACAUAUCUUUGGUAUUUCAUCUUUGAUUAAGGCCAUGGUCUGUAUGAACUAGUAAUCUGUAUGUAGGAUCAAGUUUGUGCAGUGAAGAUUCUUUGCAAAAAAAUGAAGACUCAGCUAAAUCUAUGAUUCUAGAAUAUGUAAGGGUAAAAGACUUUUAAAAGUAUUCCUAAGUAUCUUACACCUUGUCUACUAUUCCUAGGUUUAGCUAAAUCUUGGUUUUUGCGGUAUUUUAUAAUUUUCUAGCAUCAUAUUGGAGAGUGGUAUGGAUUUUGUUUAAUACCAACUCUAUAAUGUUCUUUUCUUUUUAAUCCUCUAUUUACAUCUUUCCAGUCUCUGUUUACACCCUCCAAGACUUAGUAUAUUUUGCUGGCCUAUCACACUCUUCUUGAUCUCAUCUUCUCAGCCUGGAAGCCCCACAUCUUCUCUGUGGAUUUAUUCAGAUAGCUUACCUGCCUUGGAUCUGUGCCUGUCCCUCACUGGAUUCUUUCUUUAUUGAUAUUUCCUUAGAUGUGACAACCCAAGUCCCAUGACAUAUUCUACGCUCAGCUAUUUAUGACUGUAAAGUAUCAGAUACUACUUUACUUGUAUACUUUUCUCUCUUCACAAAUAUGUUGGCUUUUUAAACUAGCUUCUUGCUGGACUAUCUUAAGGAUGGACUAUGCAGAACUCAGAUUAUUUUUCUGAGUCUUUCCCAUCAUAAUGUAGCUUGUCAUCUAAGGGAAGUUUGGAUCUCCCAGCCCCCACAUGGAUAGAAAUUUAUUUUUGUGCAAAUAUAUUUUCCACAAAGAAGUUCAUUAGUCCUUUAUCUAUCUACCAAGAGCAUCAUGGAACUUUUUUAUGAUAAUCACUCACAAUUUGGUUUUUUAAUUCCUAGAAGAGUUUAGGAUUGUCCAGGAGUGAUUCUAAGGAUUUGUGAUAAAAUGUUCAAGAAAUUUCCUAGCAGCUCAUUUGAUAGAGGAACAGAAAGUACCAGAGAGGAGAUAAAUCUUCUCCUUCUCCUCCCCACUCCUUCCUCUUCUCCUCUCAUUGCCUUACUCAUGAGACAUUGCUGGGGUGCUGGAAUUUUGGGGGAGUCUUAUGGUCAGACUCAAAGGUAAAAAUCUCUCUGAUGUUAUCUAUAAGUCCAGAGAAUUUUGUAGGCACUGCUUUUUCUAGAGAAGUUAUAACACUCUACUCCCUGGAAGGUUCCAACAUUUGAACUUCUCUACGUGAAGAAGUACUUAAUUGGCCCUAUUUUUUGUUUCCUGACUCUAGGCUGACACCUUAUGCAUGUCAAAACAUCUUCCUAAAUCCCAUGGUGACUCAACAUUCAAGUAGUUUUGGUCUGACCUUGUCAGAGAACUUUUGAAAAUAUAAAUAAAUUAUAUUCACCAAUUGUCUUCUGUCUAAAUACUUACUUUGCUUGACAACUCUAAUAGGUUAGUCAAGCAUCAUUUCCUCUUUUAGGACCAUUCCCAGUGAGUUCUGUUGUAUUAAGAACAUAGUUAUCCCCCACUUUAUAACAGAGUCCAUUGAAUUGACUGGGUGAAAUGAGUCUUAGAUUUUCAAGGUCUUCAAUGGAUUCUGGAAUGAGGGUCAUGUUGACAAUUUACCUUUUCUGGCUUGGUGUAAUUUGUUAUUGACAGAUAACAUGCCUUGAUUCCCUAUUCACUUUUAAGUUCUUUCAUAAUUUUUUUUUGUAGAUGCUAUUGCCUCAUAGAUGUUUACCUGGGCCAGAUUUUCUAAGGAAUAAAACAAUGCAUUUUUGGCAAUUUGAAUUCAGUACCUGUGGCAUGCCUACUUCAAUAUACAGUAAAGUUUUGAAAUCUUCAAAUGAAUAAACCAAAAUAGAAAAUAACUAAACAUUAUUUGAGUAUUACUCCAAUGUAUGAUUUUAUAUUUAGGAUUCCUAUGUAUUCUGGACUUGGAUUCCUUCUUCUCUUUGACAUUUUUAAGGAUUCUUUUCAUUAUUGUCCUUGAAUUUUCUUAUAAGAUAGUUUCACAAAUAUUUUUCUGGUCGGCUUAAUUUCUAAUUGUAUCUGAUCUGUCACCUUUAAGAAGUUCCCCUUUUUCCCUUUGAUUUGGAAAUCUUUACAAUUUAUGCCUAUUACUCUCUGUGAAGUCAGCUUUUACUGUAACAUUUUGCUGUGAAAGCAUCUUUUUUUUUUUUUGCAUCUGGCUUGUUUUUAUGAUUCAUGACAAAAAAUUCAUCUUGGGCUUCUAAUGGUGUAUUUUAAAAUAGUCUCCAGAAUUUCUGUGGUUUAUUUUGUUUUAAACUAUUCCUUUUUACUUUUUUAUAAUGACCACAUUUUCCUAAGCUCCCUUUCCUAAAAUUAAAUGAUUUAUAUAGCAUUCCUUCUUUUACCCAAAUGCCAAGUUGAAUUGUUGUAAAUAAUUAGUAGACAGAAAUAAGCACCCAUGAUACAGCCGGCAUCAAUUCCUGCUCAAAUCUGUCUAGAUGCUUAAAAUUCAAUUUUAGCAAGCAGAUGUCUGUAAUGGCCUGUAUUUUUGCAUUCCAGUAUGCAUACCAUCUGCCUUUGAGAUAAUGACAAUAUAAAUCCACAUUUUUAUUACUGUGUUAGAUAUUUCCACUUUCUUAAUUGUUGUAUACUGUUCUGAUUAUUUUUCUUAAAAUGGUUCCCUAUAGCAUUGAAUAAGGUUCAUUUUCUUUAGUUAACAGCCAGGGCCUUUAAUAAUUUGGUUCCUAAUUAUGCUAUCUUCACUUACUGCCCACAUGAAUGCUUUCUUUUCUUUCCCAGCAUAGUUCUUAAGUGGUAUCAUUUCACAAUUUUGUAUCUUCUCCAAGACCUUCCUAGAAUACCUUUACCCAUCUUCUUCAUUGCCCAUACAUAUUCAAAUCAGAUCAAGAUGUCUUCACUAUAAUCAAAAUGUUAGCUGUAGGCCACUUUCCAGUUAAAUUGCAUGUAACUUCCCUAAAUCCAUGAUCCUUUGCCUUCUGUGUAAUUCUACUGUCUUGACACAUGUGAUUCCAGAUGUGAGAGUCAGCACUUCACUCAUACACAAUAAAGGGCAUUCAUGCCAAGCCUGUGAAGAUUUAAUAAUUGAAUUGAAGAUUUAGGGUUCUAGACAAAGAUCACAUUAUUAAGGAAUAAGAUUUCAAUAUUUUCUUUCUCCAUCCUUCCUCACUCUUCUCUCUCUCCCCAUCUCUCUCUCUUUUUUCUCUCUCUGCCUCUAUAUCUCUACUCUCUUUUUUCUUCCUUAUCUUCAUUCUCAGAAAAAAAAACAAAACUUUUCUUUAUCUUAUAUAUUUUUGUAGCUUGAACUCACCUUUCUUACAGAAUUUCUCUGAUAGGCAACUUAGCAAAUAUAUAUUAUAUAUUUACAUAUAUUUAUAUUAUAUAUACAAAAUUUUACUUAUUUUUGAAGAGAGAGAGAGAGAGUCAGAGAGAGGGAGACAGAGAAUCCCAAGCAGGCUCCACACUGUCAGUGCAGAGCCCAAUGCAGGGCUUGAACUCAAAAACCGUGAGAUCAUGACCUGAGCUGAAAUCAACAGUCAGCUGCUUACAGAUUGAGCCACCCAGGCACCCCAGAAAAUAUAUUCUUUUCUUUAAAAUAUUGUACUUUUUCCAUAGAAAUUCUACUGAAUGAAAUCUUCUUUAGCUCAUUUAAUUUUUUAAAUGCCUACAAUGAUCUAGGUAAUGUAGUAGGCACUGAUUAUACAGUAGUGUAAGUGCAGAUAAACAUUUUGCCUUCAUAGAGUUCCUAAUUUAGUAUGUUAUCCAAGAAACUGUACAUAAUUACAAAUUAUUUGAUUUUGAUCCCCAGUUUGAUUUUUAUUUGGAUGCCACUCCUCUGGCUACCACAGCAUCUAGUACAUACUUCUAUUUCACAUGUAACCAUGUACUAUUGUAACUGAUUAUUUGUGAAUUGAUCUCCUCUAUUAGUCUGUAAAUCUCAAAGGAGGGAUGAUGUCUUAAUUCACUUUGUUUUCUUGGAGUUCAGUAUAAAACCUACAUAGUAUGCUAUAAAUAUUCAAUAUAAGUAUUCAAUAAAUAUUUGGGGUUGUAUGAAUGAAUCUUUUGUAUUUUCAGCUUAGUUGCAUGAUUUUAGUGAGCUAUAAUAUAUCUGCAUUACCAUAUUUUUACUAUUAAAUAGGAAACUCAGUGAACACUGCCAUGAACCUAUGGAAAAAUAUUAAACAAGAAAAAGAUGCUCAAGGAAUAAGUUAUUCUUAAUUCCUGAUGUAAGUGAUUUUUUCACAUUAUUUUACUUAUUUAAGUAAGAUAUCUAUUAGAUGUAUGGUACCUGCAUAGUAUUGUAGUAUUUCUUUUUUUCCUUUCCUCUCCUCUCCUCUCCUCUCCUCUCCUCUCCUCUCCUCUUCUCUUCUCUUCUCUUCUCUUCUCUUCUCUUCUCUUCUCUUCUUUUUUCUUCUUUUUUCUUUUCUUUUCUUUUUUUCUGAGAGAGAGAGAAAGCACAAACAGGGGAGGGGCAGAGACAGAGAGAGAGAGAGAGAGAGAGGGAGAGAAUCCCAAGCAGGCUCCAUACUGUUAGUGCAGAGCUCAAAUGCACGAACUGUGAGAUCAUGACCUGAGCCGAAAUCAAGAGUCUGACACCCAACAGAUUGAGCCACUCAGGUGCUCCAAUAGUACCCAUGUAGUAUUUCUAAUGCUUUCUAUAUGCAAAAAUCCUUAUAUCCCCUUAUACACCACUUACUCAGAGUCUGGGGUAAGGAAGCACAUGGCUUCCAGUGUUCCAUAGUGUAGAGAUUUAAAAACAGUUCUACAAUGCUCUGAAGGUAAUGCUGUUUGUGGACUAGCAUUGAACUAGCAUUGAACACUAGCAAUGUGUUCAGCAUUCCAUGAGGUUCCAAACUCAAAGAAGAGCUAGUUCAGUAAGAGUAACAGUAGGGAAAUUGCGUGCUAAUGUACUCCAGGAGAUGAUGAAAUCUCUUAUCUUAUUAUUUUGGCAGUGCAGAGUUCCUCUUAUGUAGAAUGUAAUUUCCUUUCUAAAAGAAGAUGAGGCAUCUGUUCCUACUCAGAACCAAAUGGAGAAUUCUUCAUUCACAUCAGCAAGUCAGGGCUGCUCAGUACUCAAAUUGUACUUACCACUGAGGAUAUUCUACUCAUACAGACUAGAUAGUGUAUCUAGUGUUUCACAUUACUUGGAAUUUUAAGCACUUUCUCAUUUCUUAGGUUCAUUACAAUUAAAAAAAGCCUGAUAAAAAAUGUGUGUAUUUUUAAAAUUUAACAAGACGCCUCAUGGAAUUCAUCCAGUCAGAUUAUCUGAAAAAUGAUCAUAUAUAUUAUGUUUGGUCAUAUAUUUUCAUUUGGUCCCAAUCUUUCAGCACUGUGUAGUUACAACAAGGACAUUGCAGCCUACUGAGUCCUUAUGAAGCUAAGGAUAUAUUUAUAAAAUCACUGUACAGUUUUCUAAUUCAACAUUUAUAAUAAACAAGCACUGAUUAUUUGUUUUCCCUUCCUCUCCAUUAAGAAAACUGUUACUCAAAACAAAGCUUUUGCUGUCCUAACGAGGUGAACGUAAGCAAAUUCCCAACUAGGUACUUGCUUACUGAAACAGAGAUUCCUAUUUUUAAUCUGUAUCACAUUGCAUAUUCUUUAUUUAUCUAUCUUUUGAUUAUUUGAUUUGUUCAGAAAACCCUCAAGUGCUUUUGAGUUUACUGUUUUUAGAGGCUCAAGAGUCUUACAUCACAGCAACAUGCUUCAUACAGAGGAAGAAUGCCUUUGAGAGCCUGCACCCCUUUCCAUAACCAUCUGGUUUGCAGAUGAUAAAUACAAACACUAGGCUUUUUUUCUCUCCCCAAAGAUCUGGGAAACAGAUUGGACCUAAAAUUCUACCCUGUUGAUCCCUAAAAUAUUAAUCUUCAUUAUCAUGUCAAAUUUUUUAAGAAUUAAUUUCUUCAGCUAUAUGUUUUUAAAGAUUGAACACACAAUACAUGUGACAUUCCAUUUGUAGGACAUUUUCCAUGGUGCUGUAAUGUCUUCAUUCUUUUCUAUAGCCUAGCCACAUCUUACUCUAUUUUCAAAGGCUGGUUUAAGACUUGCUUCCCCUGUGAAGUUUUGGAGGGUUAAUCUAAUAUUCAUGCAUCUCUCUUUCAUUGCCUGGAGCACUGGUCUUCACACUGAAAUCAAAAUGUAUGUUGGUUUGAAUGUUUCAUGUGUGUGCUUUGGUUCUCCAAUAAGAGCUUAAGUCGUUUGAUAACAAGAUUUUUUUUUUUUUGUAAAGUAUAAGGCACAUAAUGGAUAUUCAGGCCCUAGUUGUUGAAUAAAGACUGCAUUAAUACCAUCAAAGAAGCCUCACUCUAAUACAGAAUGUGGAAGCGACUAUGUUAGGAAAAAAUUAAGUUAGGAAAAAUUCUACAUUGUGAAAUAUUAACCUCGACUACAGGGCCAAGUCUAGCCUUUACAUAGCUUUUGUAUGAAUUAGAGAAGGCAUCACCUCUCGGUGACCCUAGGCAAGUAGAUAGUAGUACAAGUUGUACAAGUAGUACACCUUGUGUACUACACCUUGCACCUUGUGCAAACAAAAAGGGCUUCCUUCUUCCAGUAGGUGCGGCCUUCAAACUAGGGCUUAUAGCGUGACAAGGGGAGCUUGGAAUGAAUGUCAGCUCCCACUGGCUCCCUCAGUUGGAGACUUUAUGAAGUGUACAAACUGCAAACAAUAUUCAGCAGCUCUCCAAAUAGUGGUACAGAUGAUGCAUGCAAGUAUAGGAAGCUUGGUAGUUUAGGAAGUACUUACUCUGUAUGGCAUACUCCAUGGCACAAAACUAGAGGCUAAGAACCCAGGGAAUAUUAUGGGUCACAAAUUGGGAGAGAGAUGUGAGAAAGAUUUAUGUAAGAAUCUAGGUUUUUAAUUAGCAUACAAAAUAACAUUUAAGAGAAUGAAUAGGCCAAUUCACAGACAGGUAAGGGGACAGCAGAUAAGGUCUGUAAGGUGUGAACAAUGAUCAGAAUGUAGAAAAUGACUCAAUUCUGAAGGUGUGGACAAAUUUGUUACUGGGACAGAGUGCAACUGAGGGCAACUGCUGAGGUUUGAGAAAGGUGACAUGGUUGGAGUGCCACUUAAGAAGACAGUUUUAGUAGCUGCAUUUAAAAUAGAUUUCAGGGUAGCAAUAGUAGAAAGAAAUCUGCCGGAUGUCUGUGAUCUUGAAAGUAGAAAGAAAGGGAAAUGAUCAAGGUGAAGUAUGGAGAGAAAUUUCUGGUUGACUCUAUGUGAGUAUAAAAUCUGAGGAUGAGUGCUCUGAAAGUUGAGGAAAUGGAUUGGAUAAUGAUUUAAGUUAUUAUUCCUUAAUGGAUAUUCAUGAACAUAACAAUUAUUAUUAUUAUUAUUUUGAGACUACAGUUUAUUGAGUUCUUAAUAAUAAGAACUCAAUUAUUAAACCUACAUACAGUGCAUCCUUACAAGUAAAGCAAGUACAUAGUGCUUAGGUGGCAUUCAAAAAUAUGAUCUCCUCAGCAUGGGUUUAAAGUAUUCUUUUUAGGAGCACCUGGGUGGCUCAGUCAGUUAAAGUAUCUGACUCUUGAUUUCAGCUCAGGUCAUGAUCUCAUGGUUCAUGAGUUCGAACCUUGCAUGGGGCUCUGCACUGACAGUGUGGAGCCUGCUUGGGAUUCUCUCUCUGCCUCUCUCUCUCUCUCCCACUCUCUAAAAAUAAAUAAACUUAAAAAGUAUUUUUUUAAUUGUAGGAUGAUUUAUUUUCCCUAAUUUAUAAACCAUUUAUGAUUAUAAGCUAACUUUAAAAAUUACAGUCUAAAGUUCUAUGAUCUAACAUAAGACAUUAGUCUUGAUGGUACAUGAGAUAAUUUUAGGUAGCAUAUAACAUUUUAUAUUUUGCAAGUUUUAUGUUUACAUGUAUAUUAGGAAAAACUAUAUAGUUUGUCAAAUCUCAGGUUUUUUUUAGAACUAAGUUUAAAGUUUUAAAGGUUAAAAAUGGAAGAGUCAACUUAAAAUAGAUUUUUUAAAAUUUUUUUUAUUUAAAAAUUUUUUAAAUGUUUUUAUUUAUUUUUGAGACAGAAAGAGACAGAGCAUGAGCAGGGGAGGGGCAAAGAGAGAAGGAGACACAGAAUCUGAAGCAGGCUCCAGGCUCUGAGCUGUCAGCACAGAGCCUGACACGGGGCUCGAACUCACGCACUGUGAGAUCAUGACCUGAGCUAAAGUCGGAUGCUUAACCGACUGAGCCACCCAGGUGCCCUAAAAUAGAUUUUAAUGGAAAAUACAUAGAAAUAAUGGUAUGUGGUAUGUACUAAUUUAGAAAAAUUAAAAUUAUGGUGAGCUUGCCAUAUGGAAAAUCCUAGUCUACAGUCUACUUGUGGAUUUUAGGCAUUUAUCUCAAAAAUCAGAAAAAAAGGAAUUUGCGAAUUAUAAAUGUUUAGACAUAUUUAGACAUAUUUAGUUGGAAAGUAGUAGAAAUAACUUUACUAUUUUGAAGAGAUUUUUGGUUUAAAGUUAUUUUCAACUAUCAAAAUGUAGUUGUUUUUUUUUUUAAUUUUUUUUAACGUUUAUUUAUUUUUGAGACAGAGAGAGACAGAGCAUGAACAGGGGAGGAGCAGAGAGAGAGGGAGACACAGAAUCGGAAACAGGCUCCAGGCUCUGAGCUGUCAGCACAGAGCCCGACGCGGGGCUCGAACUCACAGAGGGUGAGAUCAUGACCUGAGCCGAAGUCGGACGCUUAACCGACCAAGCCACCCAGGCGCCCCUCAAAAUGUAGUUUUAAUUUAAAUCUUAUAGAAGAGCUGUGGGUGGCUCAGUCGAUUGAGCAUCUGACUCUUUGAUUUUGUCUCAGGUCAUGAUCUCACAGUUUAUGAGUUCAAGUCCCAAGUAGGGCUCUGCAUUAACAGGUGGAGCCUGCUUGGGAUUCUGUCUCCCUCUCUCUCUCUGCCCUUCCCCUGCUCGCUCUCUCUCUCUCUCUCUCUCUCUCAAAAUAAAUAAAUAAACUUAAAAAGAUAAAUCUUUUAGACUAGUCUGCAUCUAUUCCAACUGCAGUUUGCCAAGUCUAUCCAAUGUUUUCAAUAUUUACAUAGGUAAGGGAAAAAUUACAUCAAAUUUAUAUUGUCACUUAGCAUAAGACCUAAGAGACUCCAGAAAAGAGUUCGAUAGUAUCUAUACAAUGAUUAUCCAUAAAACAUCUCAAUUUAUUUCCUUAGUAUCAUGAAGCUUAACUUUUGGUCUUUGAUUCUUGACAUAAACUUCAUUAUGAAAUUAAAUAACUAAAAUAUUACUGGACAACUGGAUCUUUAAAAAGAUUUUAAAAGAGAUAGCUUUACUACUAAAUCCUAUAAUCACUUUGAUCCAAUUAACUGGCCAGUUAACUUUAUUUACAGGUCAAAAUAUACCCUAAGAAUCCAGAAGAAAGUUAGCAGUGCAUUUCAGUCUUUCUCUGCAGCACUGGUAGAUUUCAAAAAUUCAGGGGAAAGUUGAGAGAUGAGAAUUUGUUAACUUUAAAUGUUGCUUUAACCAUGUGACCCAUGUGACUUUAUAAACUUACUUCAUUUAUUGGGCAAGAGGAAAUCUUUAACCAGAGCCACAAAUAAAUCAUCCUAGUCAGAAGGGCACUCUACUGUAUAUUAACAACAUAGCUGUUAGCUAAAGUAAUAUGAAGAACACACCUUCUGCAGUCACGUAAAUAAGGCUUUGAAAAGUGACUCUUUACUACUUUGGGGAAAUCAUAUGCCUCUGUGAGCUGCAGUCCUUCUAUCUACAAUAUGGGAAAAUAGGAAAAUAAUUUCUACCUCAAAUAAAAAUUUGAACACUUAUCAGAUAACAUCUGAAAAAUGCCUUGUAUAACGUAAACACUUAAUAAAUGAUUCUUAUUAUUACUGUGACCUUAUGCAUAUGAAUUAACCAAUGUCUUCAUUGGUCGGUUUCACACUAUAUUUCCAGCUAAUUUCCUUAGCUCAUGUUACUCAACUCCCAUCUCUCUGCCUGUCAAUCCUGCUUUAAUUCGCAAAAUGCCUUACUUCAGCACAUCUCUAUUAAAAGGAAUACACCUGGCUAUUUAAAAGUUCCUUUCAGGGGCGCCUGGGUGGCGCAGUCGGUUAAGCGUCCGACUUCAGCCAGGUCACGAUCUCACGGUCCGUGAGUUCGAGCCCCGCGUCAGGCUCUGGGCUGAUGGCUCGGAGCCUGGAGCCUGUUUCCGAUUCUGUGUCUCCCUCUCUCUCUGCCCCUCCCCCGUUCAUGCUCUGUCUCUCUCUGUCCCAAAAAUAAAUAAACGUUGAAAAAAAAAAUUAAAAAAAAAAAAAGAAAAAAAAAGUUCCUUUCAUAAAUAAUAAUUAUUUAUUAUUAAAAAUAUUUUUAAAUCUCAAAUGGGCAAGGUAUGAUUUUUUAGGACAUUUUAGGAUAGAAUAUUUGAAUUAUAUCAACUAACAAAAUAUUAAAGUAAGUCAUACUUAAUAGUUUACUCUUUUUAAUGUAAAUUAUCUCAUUUUAUUUGAGGUGAGAAUUAGUAAACCUAGUUUUUAAAUUAGAAAAAACUGAGCCUUAGGAAAAGAAAUAACUUACUCAAGGUGUAGUAAUUACUAAGCCUGGCUCUUUUGAUACAAGACACUGUUUUUCCUAGUGUGUACUAAAUUUCUACAGUGAAAAAUAAGACUUACUACAGAAAUCAGAAAGGGUAAAGAUAACAGCCUAAAAGGAAAGGACUAUGAAGAUUUAAAGCUCUGACAAUAUGGCAUUUUACAAUCUGAGCAAAGAUAAACUUCCCCAUUCUCUGUCUUCCUCUCUGUAUAUACAUACAUAUCCAUACAUUUUCUGUAUCCUUAUCAUUAGUUUUGCUGAAAUGCAGUGGUAUCUCUAUGUUUAGCUUUCCGUUCUAUAAACAUAUCUCUGUUUUAUGAUCAAAUGCUAAAUGUGCCUCCUGGCUUAAAAUGUACUGGUGUUCACAAUAGUUCUCUAAUCUAAGACUGAGUAAAGGAAAGAAGGCAACUUGUUCCCCAGGCAAGGGCUCUGGAGUGGGAGUCAGAGGACUGUGUUUAUCUUUGAAGCCUUGGGCAUGUUCUUUGUGUUUUAAUAUACUGGGAAACUUUUGUUUUGUUUUUUAUUCUAUAUAGUGUUGAAUGGAGUAUGUAUAUAUGUUAAAAUGAAUUCUCUUUCUUACUAUAAAUGAUUUUCUUAACUUUGAUGCUUAUUUUCAUUCUUGCUUGUUAUACUUGAUAAUUAUAGAAAUGCUAAACAGUUCUAUUUUGGCAUAAUUUAACUAUGUAUUAAAUGUAUUUUUUAAAAUACAUUUUUAUUUUAGAAGUUUUAGAUUUACAGAAAAAUUGUAGAGAUUCACUCCCGACUCAAUUUCCCCUCUUCUUACGAUCUUACAUUAACACAAAUUACCAAUAUUGACACUUUAUUAUUAACUAAAUUUCAUAUUUAUUCAGGUUUCCUUGGGGUUUACCUAAUGAGCUCUUUCUGUUCCAGGACUAUUCCACCCAGGAUACCAUAUGACAUUUAGUUGUCAUGUCUUCUUAGGCUCCUCUUGGCUGUGAGAGUUUCCUAGACUUACCUUGUUUUCCAGGACCUUGACAGUUUAGAAUGCUUCUUAAUUGGGAUUUGUCUAAGUUUUCUUUCAAUGAUUAGACUGGGGUUGUGGAUUUGGGGGAGGACAUCCUCAGAGGUAAAGUGCCAUUCUCAACCAUCAACAUGACUUGUUCUACUGAUGUUAAACUUCCUUCCCCGGCUGAGGUAGUGUCUGUCAGUUGUCUCUACUGUAAAUUUACUGUUGUUUUGGAAGAGAGUCGCUAUGUGCAGCCCACACCUAAGGAGUGAGAGUUAUGUUCCAUCUCCUUGAGGUGGAGUAUCUCCAUAAAUUAUUUGGAAUUCUGCACAUUCCAUUCACUCAUCCAUUCAUUCAUUUGUUCAUUUAUUUAUAUCAGUGUGUACUCAUGGGUAUUUAUUUUAAACUUUGGGUAAUAAUUUAAUGCUACUUUUCUUUUUUUGUUGUUGGUCAAAUUGUUCCCACUUUGGUCAUUGGGAAUUCUUCCAAGUGGCUGUGGUAUAUCUUUGUUAUACCCCCAUCAUUGUGGGGUUUUUUUCUUUUUUCUUUUGUUAGUGCUUACUUUUUAGCAUUAUAAGAUGCUGUUGGCAUAUAUUGUAUAUUUCCUAUUUCGGUCAUAGAAUCUGUGUUUUCUCCAAAGAGCCUUCUUUUAUUGGAGUAUGGUAUUAAAACCACAGUUUGGGACCUAGAUAUGUUCACUGCUACUGGGGAGUCAUUUUUUGUUUAUACCAUCUCAGUUGACAGAGCAAGGAAAUAUGUGUGUUUAUACAAACAGGUGUAUAUACAUAUACCUAUAAAUAUUUUAAUGAAUUAUGUUUCUAUUCAUUCACAGCAUUCACAGCGUUCCUUCCUAAACUUCCCAUGUGUGGGGUAUCAUAUAAAAUAGAUGCAAAUUAGAACAAAUUAAUGAAUAAUUAAAGGUAGAACUAAGUAAAGUCUGGAAAUAUAUCAUAAAAGUAUACCCUAAAACCAGAGAAUCCUACCUGGAGUUCAUAGGCUGAAUAAGGCCUGCACGUAUGUUUUGUUUCGUGCACACAGUGCUUUUAAAACGUUUUGAAUUACAUAACAUUAAAAAAAGUGAGAGAUGUCAAAAAACAAAAACAAAAAAAAACAAAAAAAAAACCCCAAAUAUUGAUUUCUAGGUUCUCUUUAAAAGUUUAUCAUAUCUGAGAAACUCUAGACCCUCAUUAUUCAUUCACCGAUCGCCUUGCAUUGAACAGCGGCUCAAAUCUUGGUGAGGACUGCACAAGCUGCUGUCCACCCCCACCGUUUUUUCUCCUGGAUACGGAAGAGCCAGCUCAGAUUCCGUCCCACAUGUACUGUUGUUUUUCCCAUGGUGAGGAGGAGAGGAAAAUGUUUUUUUAAUCCAUGGAUAACACAGUGGGAAAAAGAAAGAUAGCCUAUAACAUAUAUAUAUCUAUAGUCUGUAACAUAUAUAGAUACAGGUACAGAUAUAGAUACAUAGAUAUAGACACAGAUAUAGAUAUAGAUAUAGAUUUUUAAGUAAAAUGAGAGAACACAUAUUUCUCUAUGCAAGUAGGAAAUAUCCCUAUUUGCUUAAUAUGCAAAAUGUGACUGUAUCAAAGUAAUACUGCUUAAUAUUCCAAUGCAAAAUGAACCCUAACCAGUAAAUUCGUUCUCCAAUAAGAAUCAGAACAUAAAACUUCCUGCCACUUCACAAAGUGACUUCAUAAAGUAAUAUGAUCCAACACAGAGUUUGGAUUUUGAUGUGGAGUUGAUAUGUAUAUCAUUGUUAUGUGACCUAGUUUUAAAUCUUUAGAAGCCAUCUCUAUGUUCUUAUUUUCUAUGAAAGUUUUUAUAAAUCUUGAACCGCAUUAUUUUAUGUAAAAGGCCAAUAAAAAAUAAUUUACCCAAGAUCUAAAAACGACAUUUUACUGCUAUGUUGAAGUACUGUCUUUGUGAUUUUGUCUGUUCAUUCAGUCCAGUUGGUUUUAUUCAGUUAGUUUUAUUCAGAAGGGACAUGAAUAAAGAAAGAAGUUAUUAUAGAUUUCUAGUAUGCUAAAGAUGUGGAUGGAAUAUGGACUAAGCAUUUUAUUUGACAUUUGUCUUGUUUUCAAAAUGAUGACAUUAUGAGAAAAUAAAAUGUCUGAUCCAUUAGUGGCUAAAUGAAAAUAAAGUCUAGGCUACAAGUGGCUGGAAGCUUGAAGCUUGCCAUGUUUUACUGGUUGUACCAAAUUAAAUGUAUUUAUCAAGAAAGUGAACUUAUGGCAAGAAGGAAAAAAAGGUUAUACUUAUUGGAAUAAAAGUGAAUUUAGGUAGAAUUUUAAGUAUAAAAAUAAAUAUAGUGUAAAAUAAAAUUUAAGAGCGUAAAAAAAUAAACCAAGUUUGACAAUUUGACCACCUCCCUCUCCCCCCAGUAUCAUUGCGUAAUUGUUGGCAUCAUAAGUUUUAUCAUGUUUAUGCAUGUCUAUAUGCAUGUAUGGAUGAAUAUAUAAACACACAAUUUGAUAUUUAUAGAUACGUAAUAUUUUUGUCUAUAUAUGUAUUUAUUUUAAAGAUUUACAAGUGCCUAAUAUGAGGGUAUAUAACCAUUUCUAUAAAAGAAAAUAUCUAUAACCACAACACGUACAUACAAAACUAUAUUUCUUGGGGCGCCUGGGUGGCACAGUCGGUUAAGCGUCCGACUUCAGCCAGGUCACGAUCUCGCGGUCCGUGAGUUCGAGCCCCGCGUCAGGCUCUGGGCUGAUGGCUCAGAGCCUGGAGCCUGUUUCUGAUUCUGUGUCUCCCUCUCUCUCUGCCCCUCCCCCGUUCAUGCUGUGUCUCUCUCUGUCCCAAAAAUAAAUAAACGUUGAAAAAAAAUUCAAAACUAUAUUUCUUAUAUAUGUUUACAUAUAUAACAGUAAUGUUUCAAUUAGACUAUGAUAAUAAACUCAAUGGAAACUUCUGGUAUGCAGAAUAUGUUGAUUUUUCAUAUAAUUUCUUAGGAAUAUUUGCCAUAUAAAUUAACAUUAAAAAAUAAAUUUGAUGAAUACAGCUUGGAUGAAACAUUAAGAUUCUAGACUUUCAGUGCUGAGAAAUCAGAAAUUGAAUCAGGGCUCUGCCUCAGCAGAUUCCAUGCUAACAGUGAUUUUAUUAUAAUAUCUACCUGACCACUUCCCAUCUAGGGAGUGAAUGUGAUUGAUGAAGAAUGGAUGAUUAACAAAAUCUUACUUCUCUGUUGAUCUUCAUUCCUGAUGGAAAAGGUCACACCUACAAAUACUGUCUAGUUUCAGAUCUGGGCCUCUCACUUCUAAAGUGUGGCAAUCUUGACCCAGGACAAGCUGUUUAAUUGCCGUGAGCCACUACUGUCACCUCAUGGGAAUGACACUCUGUUGAAGAUUUCAUGAGAUCAAGUAUAUAAAACUUCUGGACAGUAUUAGCACAUAAAGUACUCAAUUCAAAGCCAUAUUCGAUGGCUACUUCAGCUACCACUACUAUGACAGCUAUCGAGUAAAGAAAGUCCUUUUAGACUGAAUUGUCUUCUAUUUUAAUAACUCUUACAAAAUAAAUUAAAAAAAAAGGCCAAUAUACAACUUCCGAGUCACUAGUUCAUUGUCAUCAGUCUGGAAACCUCCAUAAGUAUGUAGGUAUGGUCAUAAUGUUUGCAACUGUUUGAAAUGGAAACAAUGGAAACAAUUGAAACACUUUAGCCCUGCAGAUUAUCAUUAACAAUAAACUGCCUUUAGCUUUUCAGAUCACUGUUGGUAACCACUAUUUACGACACAAAUGAGUAGGAUUUGUUAGAAAUCAUUGCGUUAUUAUAUUUGCAAGCUUAGGUAGUGUUUCUCUUAGCAGAUAGGUACUCUACGGUUUCAUGGAGCACUGAAAAUGUGUGUGUUACUAUAAAUAACACACAGUUACCUGUGUGGCAAUAUUUGGUCAUAAAAUAUUUUCACUAUAAAUUACAUAUUACAUGUUAUUAUCCAUGUUAUUAUCCAAGAAAAAAAGUUGCUAAGGGGCUGAGAUAAUAAUCUAGAAAUCCAUGACUUGUCUGUGGUAGGUUUUGUUUUUGCUGUUUGGUUGGUUUGAAUGAGAAGUUAGUUGUUUUUAAAUCAAGCUAGUGCUUUUAUUAUUUGACUUCAGCCAUAAACGUAAGCUGAAAUGAAAAACUAAAGUAGAAGGAAAAUUGUGAAAUAAAUUGAAGAUCUAUUAUAUACAUUAUACAUAUUCCAGCUAACCCUAGGUUGUGGACCUGGAGAUAUGGGCAAGAUGGCUUUGAAAAUAAUCCCUCUUAUAACUUCUCAGGUUGUACUAAUUUCAUGUGGUUAAUAAGGCAUGUAGGAGGUAGUGUUUUCACUAAUGAUGGAUUAAUUGGAACUAGGGGGAUUUCAUUUUGUAAAUCUUAAAACUGGUUAUCCACCCCAUCUCCCUCAUUUGACCAGGCUUAAGAGAUAUAAAUAGAACUUUUUGCAUUGCCAUUUAUGAUACAAUUUGCCCUUUAUUUCUUGGUGUUUGGUAACUCCUAAAUUCCAAAAUCUUUUUUUAAGUAGUUUUUUUUUUACUUUAUAGUUCAUCAAAUUUGAAUUUGUUUUAUGUGAGACUGUUGAAAAUGAUGUAAUCCAAUGCAUUCCAGCAAAUUGCCAAGGGAUUGUUAUGUUUAUAUUUUCAGGUACUUUAAUAGAAUAAUUUUCAGGCUCAGGUUAUGAUUACUAUCAACUCUGUAAAAGCUUCCUUGCUGGUGACAGGAAAAGUUGCUACAGUGACUGACAUUGGAACAGAAUGGAGGUCUAGAGGUACUAAAUAACCCUCAGAAUGGCACGGAGAAGAUGUUAGAUCUAGGAAUCGGUCUCACUACAAAAGAACAUUGAUCAGCGUACCAUUUUUGACAUUUGUUUCUUUUUUUAUUGGCAAAAGAAGAGCUUUCUGGAAUGGUGAACCAAUUCUGUAUGGCUAUGUCCUUACUAGUCUGUAAGGUCUGUGAGGGCAAGGCAGUGAUUUCCUGCAUAUCUACCCAGUUGCUUGUUUGGAAAUAGACACCUGAAAGAAAACUGAAAGAAAUUGUCUUUCCACUCUUCAAAGCAGGACAAAUGCUCCAGAAAAUUUCCAUUUUGCAAGAAAUGGAACUUCUGAACUCCUCUGACUUUGUCACCAACAUCAGGCUUCACCUGCCUCUCUAACUUUUUUUCUUUUUUUUUUCCCCUUCUGUCCUUAGGCUGAACCCUCCUUGAUUCAUACUAGGACGAGAAUAAUGACUACUUAUCUGGUUUGCUGCGUGGAAUCUUUCUCUCCUCUAUGAUUCUCCCCACUUACUCUACAAUCUCAGAAGACUCAAUCUUCCUUCUUUCCUUUUGCUGCUCAAUGAAGGGAAAGACUUCAAUGCUAUCACAUUACCAUCAACCCAGUUAAACACAACACUGUUAGUUGGUGUUCAGGAUUUCUAUGAUUGGAGGCAACUGACACUUUCUGGCAUUUCUUCCACUUAUUCCCUAGAUGGAAUACUCAGUAUGAGACAAACCAAAUCUGAGUAUGCUCCCCAAGCACACCCCAUCUCUGAGUAAUUGCUUAAGUAUCUUCCCAGUUGUUAUUGCCAAAGCUCCUAGCCAGACAUUCAAAGGCAGUGAGUGCUCAACUAAUUUGUUUUAUUGAAGUCUGACAAUAAAUUAGAUGGAUAGUUAAAAUUAUACACCUUUUUUUCCUAUACAUUUUGAUUUGGUUAUUUGAAUUUCAUUCACUGUUUUUCAAUUCUAUUAUGCUUUUCUAAAAUUGACUUUGGUUUACAUAGAAGUACUGUCAAAUUAUUGAAAAGUUACGAUAGCUUUUACUAAAUAUUUGAAGCAAGGGCUAAUAAAUUUCUACAACUCCUUUAAGCACACAAAAUUAAUUUUAGUUAUUAACAAAAGCUGUUCUUUUUUUUACAAAGGUUUUUAAUAUAUAAUCAGGUUUGUAACCUUUUCUAAAACAAGUUCUCUUUUUUUUCUCAGAUUUUCUGAAGUUGUUUGUACUAAAAUGAUACUGUUAUUCUGGAAUGUUGAUGUGGUAGGAAACUUCUACUUAUGUCUCUAAAAAGUAGGCUAUGAUUACAUAUCAUAAAAAUAGAUGUAAAACGUGGCUAUUCUGGCCUCUUGAGGUCAGAGAACCUUGCCAUGAGCAUGUUUAAUCACAUGUCUGUACAUCUCAGUGACUUAAUAUUUCAAAUAACAGACAUUUUAAUAUAAGACAAGAAAACAUAAACCUCAGUGGAUGAACUGAUACUUCACAAUCAAAAUCUGUUAUGCUCUGAAUUAAUCAAAACUUCAGUAUUCCUUUUUAAAUUUUAUCAAUUACAUUACAUGGAACUAUUUUUUCAAAAUAGUAAAAUUUAGCAUGAGAAGUAUGUGAUUAUUAACACAUAGAAUUUCUCCUUUUCUUCUCUAAUUUGUACUCUAAUAAGUACAAGAAGUGAGUGUAGCUAAAGGCUACACACACACACACACACACACACACACACAUACACACACACAUAUAUGAUGAAAUACUCUGGAAGGAACAUUUGAAGCAUAGUUGAAUAUUUUUGUCAAUAAUUCAGUUGCUUUUUAAAGUUUUUAUUUUUCAUUUAUUUAAGUAAUCUUUACACCCAACAUGGGGCUCUAACUCAUGACCCUUGGUUCAAGAGCGACAUGUUCUUCUGACUGAGCCAGCCAGGCACCCUAACAAUUCAGUUCUUAAAUUCAUAUUUCAUUAGAGUUGCUAAAUUUUCACCUUUUUGGGCUAAGGAGGGUAUCAUCAUUGCGAUUUCCUGAAGCCAAAUUGCAUGGAGGAUCAUCAUAUAUUUUCCUUUCUCCAGGUCCAAAUAGGCUGAGUGUCUCAUCCGUGAGUUCCGAACCUAGUUGCUCACUGUUUCUGCCCAACAGAAACCCACUGGUCAUGAUGCAUACCUUUCUCUAUGGAUUAAGCAAAGUGUUUAUAGUGGCUGUCAAUGUCCAAUGGCAGCUCGAAGCCAACCUUUGAGUCAAAUCUUUUGCCCAAUAAAGUGUCCUAAGACUAUCUUGGUGUCUUAAGACCAUCUAAUUUAUUAAACAUUUUUUUUCUUUUUUAGCUGAGAACUCUAAGCAAAAGUUAAAUUUUUUCACUGAAUGAUUGCCAUAUUUUCAUGAAAUUUUGAAAUGGCAUGAAUGGUUUAAGGGCAAAAGGAAUACUUUUUGAUGCUUUGUGUUAUAUUUGCUGUUAAGUUACAUUGGAAAAGUAUCUCAUUACAUAAACUUUACAAUGCACGUAACUGUCAAAAUCAUUUCCUAUAACCGAAGAAAGAACUUGAAAUUGCUGUUCAUGAUGAUAAUACUUAAAGAUGACAUUUCUUCUAUUUAAAAAUAUUAUGCUAUUCUCUCCCUCCCUCUCUUUCUGCCCCUCCCCUACUUGCAUUCUCCCCCUCUCUCUCAAAUACAUAAAUAAAUAAAAAUAUACUAUUUCCAUCAGAUCUCUGCUCAGUCUGCUUUAUCUGUGAGAUUACCCUUGAUUAUUUAAAAUUAACCGUAGUCUCUCCUCCCCACUCAAUUCAUUUCUCUCCUAGCACUUUCUGCCUUUACCUUUCUGCAGUUUUCUUUGUGACAUUUGUGACUAUUAGACAUAUAUGAUUCUGUGUUUAUUUACUUAUUUUCUGUCUCCCUCUACUAGUGUGUAAACUCCUUAAAGACUAAACUUUUCCUGUUCUGUUCACAUUUACAUUCCUAACACUGACAUGGUGCCUAAUGUAUAGCAGGUACAUUGAUACAUUGAAUGAAUGAAUAAGAAUGAAAGAAUGAAUAAGAAAUAUAUUGAACUUCUUGAUGUGACUAGAGAUUUAAAAACUGGACUCAUAGUUCAUAGUUACUUGUGCAAAAGGCAGGAUUGUAGAUUGGUUUAUCUUCUGAGUAUUUAUUAAUCUAUAAAAUGAAAUGGACACUUAUCCCUGUAGAAGAGGUGAUAGAUACGUGUAAAAUCUUCUCAAAGCCAAAGUGGCUAUUUAAGUAUGGUAGCAAUCCUCUGAUUUUAUUUCCUUCCUUCCCUUACAGUUCACGCAGCUCUACAGUGAACAUCCACUAUGUCUCAGAUUCCCUGCUCGGUGUCAAUGAUAUAGCCUUGAACAAGACAAAGAUACCCUGCCAUGCUACCCAAGACAGAGUGGAGAGUGCAGUCUAGGAGGUGGUAGAACAAAAUUAGGGAUGAAUAUGGUCAGAUUUUUAUAGAAGUGAGCAUCCUUUUGAAAUUGAGCACAUAUUAGGUGCUCAAUAAUUGUUAGAUUAAUGAAGAAAAUGAAACUUUAAAGAAAUUCUAAAUCAAAAUUUAAUUUAUUUCUGUAAGUGAAAAGUCAAACUUUUUUUUCCAAUAGAUUCUCAUCUCACAAUUUCUCUGUGAUUAAUAGGAUUUGGGGUAAAUUGCCCAAAACAUACAACACAGAUUCUACCUAUAAAAUACUGCCAUCUUUCCAUGAAUUACCAGAGAAAGGAAAAUUCUCAUGCAAAAUCAGGUGAGACAAUUCCUUUCAGAAGUAAAAGUUCAGGAAUGUGUUGUCCAUGACUCUGCCACCAGUGUCCAGGGAAGUGUCUGGCACAGAGAAGACAAGAAAAUGCAUUUUGUCAAAUUGAACUGAAGGAAUAUAAGGAGGGAAAAAUACUUUAACUCUGUGGCCACAAUGAUCUCUAGAAUAUCACAAUACAGGCAUCUUCAGUUAACUGUUCAUUUCUUUAGAAGACUCUCUCUCUUUGCUUCAGGGUCAGUUCUGGGCAUAAAAUUCAUAACGGCCAUAGACAGAGCCAUUUAAAAGAGCACAAUUUGAAACAACUAAAGUGUUCAUGCCACAUGAGGCCAUGAACUUAUCACUAUAAACCUCCUAGCACACUGUCUUCUAUAUUGUAGCUGUACAAUGUGUUUAUUUAAUAAGUGGCUAACUUAUAAUCCAACCACUGUCUCCAAAUCUUAGCACAAAUGAAAUUUGAGUUGAUGCACAUAAUACAGUUAAAUCACCCUUCAAUUCCUAACUUGAAAAUAAUUUCCUAGGCCACAUACUAUAAUUUGUCCAUUUUUAGAUUAAAUAGGUGAUUUCUGAAAGUAAACAUCACCUAGUAGUUUUUGCAGAGAACAGAGUUUUAAAAGAUAAAAACAAAAAUGAUACUUGACAUAUAAACUAUUAUUUGGUCCACAUCAUUUUCUCUUGAUUCUUGCAUAUUUAAGGAAUGUCUCAAGAUCAUCUCUCAAAAGAAAAGAAACUAAAAGGUCAUUCUUCAAUCAUUUUACAUAUUUCAUAUUUGAAAUAUGGAUUUUUUUAUUUCUCUAGUGAAUUAUUUAUGCACUGGGCCCCUUUUGGUAAAAUGUAAUGGAUUUUUUUCCUGCCAAUUUAUAAAAGCACAGAAAACAGACUGAAGGCACAGCUAGCAGCCUCCAGCUUUGGUAACGCUACCCAUCUGUUUCCUAUAAGGUAGUUGUUGUUUUUCCUUGUUAAAUUCUCCCUGUGAAAUGUUUUUCUUGAGAUUUCUUUUUUUGGUCUGUGACUUCUACCCAGUGAUUCUACUCACUAGUGGAUCAUGAAGGCACAAAUGGAUUCUGGGGGAGCUUUGUAACUUCUGAUCCUUGCACCAGAAUCUCACUGUACUGAUCUAAUUUGGGCUAGAUCUAUUUCCAGGGAGAUAGAUUUCUGAAAUUACCAAGGAGUCAUGCUGUUCUUAAAGUGAUUUUAAUUUAAGGGUUUUUACACCUUAAAAAAAAGAUUAUUGAGAUUUCAGAUUUGUGGUAGUUUUUAGUGGUAAAUUUUCCUUUGGGGGUGGGGGGGGUGCCAUUUAGCUUUUAUCUGUGUUGUCUUAAGGAGCAGAAAAUAUAUUCUUUUCUAACCACAGGACAUAAGGAAGGCAAGUCCCCACAUAUGCAUGAUCUUUCUAAGAAACAAUAGUUUUCUUGCUGUUUCUUCCAUUUAAAGAAAGCAGUGCAUCACUGCAGGUGCUUCCCUUAAUGACUAAAGUAAUAUACCCAAAUCUGGCAUCAAAAUACUAGAGAAGCUUUUAAAAAAUACAGAUUUCCAGUUGCAAAACAAAAUCAGAAUCACAAGAGGUAGGGUCUAGGAGAUGAUAUUUUCAAAUAAUUUCUUUGAGGGAUUUUGAUGCACAGCCAGAUUUGAGAAGCAUGAAUUUAAAACAGAAUCAAGGCUGAAAUGUAAAAUUAAAUUAAAAUAAAAAUUUUUUAAAAUUAAAAAAAACUCUUCAAUUUGAGGAAUACAUAGCAUUUAAAGUCACAAAACACAUAUAAUUUUCAUGGGACUGAUUUGGGGUGAAAUCUUUGAAUGGAGGAAGAACUGAAAGAUCAUAAAAUAUGAUCAUAAAAAUAACCUGAAGCUUUCAAUGGCUCUGAAAGAUAAUACUGGGGUUUGCCUCCCAACCCUGCAGGCUCAAUGCCACCUACUUUAUAAAAACAUAACUUGCAAGGUGUGGAUAUAUUGGCUGAAAUCACUAAAUAUUCUGUGACAGCUUAAAAAGCCUCCUGUCAAGGAUACCAUAUACUUAGUCUCAAAAACUUUCCAUCUGUGUUUAUAUUAAACACAGGUGUAUUGCUGUGGGCAGGUAGCUCAGGUAUUGUGGCAUUAACAGGUCAUACUAAUUACUACAAUGGCUUUGUCUAAUAUGCUAACUCAGAAAAAUUCCUUUGCCCUAUUUCCUCUCUUCCCUAUGUGUUAUCACUGCUGUUCUUGAAAUCUGAUCACACUCCUAUGUUGGGAUGUUAUUUAUGUGGACAGACCCAAAGCCUGGCGAUUAAAUACUUGACCUCAGGGUGUUUUGUGGGAGAAACAGGAUUCCUCCACUGUCAUCAUAGCCCUAUACAAAUGGAUUUCUGCCAAUAUAAGGCAGUGCAUGAUUUAUCUCUCCUUCACCCUACUCCAGAUUCUGAUAGGUUCCCAUAGAGGGGAGAGAAGUGAGCAUGAAUUUGUUGUUGAUAUACAUGUAAGUGGGGUUGAGGCAGGCAAGAGAAGUCUGGGACCUCUGUGCUAAAUAAUAAUGGUUGUGUUUAAAUAACACACAAAAAAUGAUUUUUUCAAAGCACUUUCACAUCUAUUUGAUUCUCAAAACAACCUUGAAGGGGGAGUAUAUCACUCCCAUUUUUAGAUGAAAAAAUUUGAGGUUCAAAAAAGUUGCCAUUUGCCAAAUGUUGUAUAACAAGGGAUUUUCAGUGCCAGGGUUAAAAAAAGCAAAAUAAAACAAAACGCUUAGGUUUCCCUGACUCCUUAAUUUCCAUUUCCCCUACAUCACUUUGCCUUUUAGGAGUUCCCCGUAGCUAGCUUAAGAGUCAAAGUACAACUGAAAGGUGUCUGAGUUAGAGCUGCACGUUUGCCCUUUCAUUCUCAUUCUUCGUUCUCUUGAUGUAAAUGAGCAAGUGCUACUUACCCUGAAGCUGAAGGCAAAGUAAGAGGCCUGAAGUGCAUCAGAAAUCUGUGCUCCAAACCCCCAAUCUGCCAUUUCUUCUAGCUCGGUCCCUUUACCCACCACUCAGUCUCUUUCCCCUGCUUUCUGUUCUCUCUCUCUCUUCCUUCUAACAGUAGUGAAUUCCAUAUAGGUCCUGGAUACAUUCUACUUCUUUCUCAAUUCUCAGUUGACCCAACACUUCCACCUACCCAAGAAUAACCUACCCCUCCUGCAAAAUGCCUUAAACAAGGCUUAUGUAUGCUCUCUUGAAAUCCUAUAUUUAUUUCCAUCAAGGUACUUACUAUGGACUUUAAUUGCUUGAUUAUCUGUUUCCUUCUUUGGGCUAUAGCUACUUGGAAAUUGAAUGCUGUCCUUUAUUUUGUUCAACUCUAGUACCCAGUGGGGAAAUGGCACAUAGUAGGGACUCAACAUCUAUUGGAUGGAUAAAGAUCAUAUUCUCCCUGUUCAUGUCCCUAGGAUUCCUUGGAGUAUUUCUGUGGAUUAUUUCUUUGGAGACUCUAAAUCAUCCCUUUACCUUGCCAAGACCUUUCCAGGCCCCUACACAGCACACUGGGUUUUAUAUAGGUCAUUUAUUAAAUGGUCACUUAAUAGGGGAAAUGAUAUUUGAUUUGCAUUAUUUUGUUUAUACAUGCUUUACUAAAAAACAUGUUAUUCCUCCCGAGUUUUAGGAUUUCUUUGACCUUUUACUAUAAUUGCCAAAGAGCUGAUUUCCUCUUUCUUGUUAAGAAAUUCUGCAGAAUGUCCGACCUAAUGUGCUGUCGCUGCCAAAUUACUUUUCUUGAAAUCCACUCUUGUAUAGCAACAUGAAAAGAAAGAAAAUUUUAUAAUUUUUUUUGAUAUUAGGAAACAGAAGUACUUUCUUUUGGUAAUAAGAUACUUUUUAAGUAUUAAUAUUCAUAAAAGUAAGAAAUAAUAAUUUAAUUUAGCAAUGAUAACCGAGAAAAUUUGCCAUAGUCUCUUUCCAUCAUACAAAAUACUACCAUUAUAAAGAAUCUACCUAUACUGACUAUUAGAUUAUAGACACGUUGCUACCUUUUUGUCACAUUGGCUUUUUUCCUUUACUGAUAUUUUAAAUUAUUUAACUAUUAAGCUGGAAAAACUGAAUGAUUAAAUUAAUCCCAAAUAAUUUUAAAUAUAAUAUAGGUCCUGUAUAAAAAUAAAAUUUUAAAGAUGCUGACAUUUUUAGCAUGUUAAAUAGUGGAGUUUGUAGUUCAUCAUAUAUGGGCUGGCACAAAUUAGCCUAAAGUCCUGUCUGGAAGAGCAUUAUCACUGUAUACUUCAUAUUCCUAUAAGCUCUUGAUAAACUGUUUACUCACUCUUAGAUAGUUAAAGGAAUGCAAAGGUGGGGAGGUCCAUCAUUUUGUGAAUGAGGUAGAAUAAUGUUGAAUAUAUGAAUUCUGGUGUACAAGCUGCUUGUUAUGCAUAUGGAGAAUGAUUUUGUCUAUUCCUAGAAUUCCUAACUCCCAGAUAAUUGGUCAAUAUAGAUAGGCAUGAAAUAAUGCUUCUAAAUUUACUGUUCUGGUUAGCAAUGUUUUAAGUUUCUUUUUAAAGUUCAUUAAGUAUCUUCCCCAUCUUGUCAUCUCAUUUGGUCAUGUGGGCCAGUCAUGAAAAGUUUAGCUGAGCUCAUGAUAAAUUCCAUUAGCUUUUAUGGUUGAUACUUAACCUAUAGAGUUGCAUUAAAUAACUCUUAAAUCACAGCUAUUCCAUUAACAUCAUAAGAAUAUCUUUUCAUCCAGUUACCUCCCAUUAAAUCAGCAUGCAAAUGAUCAGGUUAAAUUUUUUUUUUUUAGAUCACAUGCCCUAUUUUAAAACAAAAUGAGCAGUCACACUUAUUCCAUUGUUUGCUUUUAUUUCUAAUCAUUACUGCCAUUCAGAUUAAUUGUGACUGAACAGAUCAUUACUGAACAGGAGAAAAUUGCAAUUGUACCUUGGUCCUUGGAGGGAGGUUUCUAUUUUCAAAGCUCUCAAUUAACAGAAGAUUAAAUUUCAAAAAAAGAAGAAAACAGUUAAGAACUUUUGUAAAGACUAUUUUAGACUUCAGAAAAAUGAAAGGAAAGGAAAACCUGAAUAAGGUAUAGCUAGUGGUUAUUGGUUUGUUUUAAAUUGUAUUUUUCAGUGUUGAAUUUUAUUGAAUUUUUCCCAUUUGGCCUUUUCAGCAUCACCUCUUUAGUUUAAAUAAAGUAGGUAGAAUGAAGUACAAUGUUUGUUAUUAGGGGAGUCAUAUUUAUACAGUGUAAGCUGAAUUUUCUGGGGGAAAAUUUCAUUUCCUGUGUCCUAUAAAAGAGUCUGAAAGGGACUAAGUAAUAUUGGUAUGCAGUCAUUUACUAUUCAUACUCAUCAAGAUGCCUGAAGGCUUAUUUGUGUCAUGGAGAUAGUUUUUCCCCAUCAAUAUCCUGUGAAGCCUCAGGAAAGCUAGGGGAAAUUUCACAGGAUAUUAGGAUGGUAACAUUUGGUGGCUACACAGACAUAACAUCAGGAAAUGAAAUAUUGACUGUUUAGAAUUGGGAACUGAAUAGAAAGAAUGGAGUUACAUUCUUAGUAUGUUUCACUUGCUUCCCUUUGAUAAAAAAUUCAGCUUAAAAAAAACCCCAAAACAUCGUGGUCUCUCUUUUCUUAUCUCUAAGGUAAACCAUGCUUUACUCUUUUUCUCCUUUCAAGUUAAUCCAGACUCCUCUUCCUCUUCAUUCUUCGUAUGGACUCUCAGUUUAUUACUCUUACUUAUGCAAAAUCCACAUUCAGAGUGUGAAUUUUAAGUUUUAUAUAUAAAAACUUGUGUUCCCUUUAUUUUCUCUCUAUGGUAGCAGUGCAACUGUCUUACUUAGAAUGUAGUCAUUAAGAGUGUGUGGUUGUUCAAAUCUUGGCUCUGUCACUCACUGACUUUGUGAUGAUCGACUCCAAGCCUCUCCCCAAGUGGUUGUAAGGAUUAAGUAUAAACUUUCCCUAUGACAUUUAGCAUAGCUCUCACAACACAGUACCCCAUAGCUAUUAGUAUUUACACUGGGUUGUUUUUCCUUACAUAUUCAUCCUAAUAUGCCUCAAUCGAAUUUAGAAUCUUUUCCAAUCAAGCUUCCAAUUUAUCUUCCAAAAACUUUUAUUUUAUUCUAUGUCUACACCAUUCUCCUUCCUGUAGGUAUCUGUAUUAGUUUUCUAGGCUGCUGUAGAACAAAGUAUGACAAACUGGGUGGCUUAAAACAACAGAAAUCUAUUGUCUCAAUUAGGAAGGUCAGAAGUUCAAAAUCAAGAUACUGGCAGGGCCAUGGUCUCUCUGAAACCUGUAGACAGAGAAUCCUUCCUUGCCUCUUCUUAGCUGCUGGUGGUCGCCCACAGUCCUUCACUGCCUUGGUUUGCAGCUGCACUUCAGCCCCUGCCUCCAUCACAUGUGUCUGUGUCUCUUUGUGUCUUCUCUUCUUAUAAGGACACCAGGCAUAUUGGAUUAAGCGACCACCCUAUUCUAAUGUGACCUCAUCUUAAGUAAUUACAUUUUCAAAGGACUUAUUUCCAAAUAAGGUCAACCUAUCUUUUUAGGGCACAUAAUUCAACUCACAACCAUAUCCAAUAGGUGUUACUUCCUCCAUUCAUUCUUGAACCUUGAAUGUCAUUUUUAAAUUUUUUCUAAUAUCUUGUCCCACCUAUAGUCAAUCAGACCUUGCAUAUUUCAUAUCUGGUGUUUCAUGGAUUUACCCCUCUUUCUUCAUUCCCAGAAUAACUAUUUCUAACUACAGUAUAACAUUUUCAACUGGUAGCCUUUACUUAAAAAAAUUUAAGUUUAUUUAUUGAUUUGGAGAGAGACAGUGAGAGCAGGGGAAAGGCAGAGAGAGAGAGAGAGAGAGAGAGAGAGAGAGAGAGAGAGAGAGAAUACCAAGCAGGCUCCACACCGUCAGCAUAGAGCCUGAUGUGGGGCUUGAACUCACAAAACUGUGAGAUCAUAUUCUGAGCUGAAAUCAAGAAUCCAACCGCUUAACCGACUGAACCACCCAGGUGCCUUUAGUCUCAUCUGCUUCCAGCUCAUCUUCAAUUCUGUUUAUAGAUUAAUGUUCCUGAAGGUUACUUCUAUUUUCUUCUAUUCAUUCACUUAUUUACCCAUCAAGCAUUUAUUGGACAUCUUCUAUGCAUCAGGCAUUGUUCUACACUAAUGAUACAGAGGUAAAAGAAAUGUUUAUCCGGGACAAAUGUAUACUCUGGUAGAGUUUACAUGUAAGCAAACAAGUAAGUUUGAUAGAUUGUUGCAGAUAUUUUGUUAGAUGUAUGGGCAAGGUGAAAUCAGAGCACAGAGAAGAGAAAUCACAUAUAGGGAAGGGGCAAGUCAUGGAAUCCUUCUAGAGGUAGAAGCAUUACUCUUCCCAGAAUUCACAUUACUCUAGAUGGAACCAUCCUUUUCUGAUAUCACAUGUUUGCCCUCCUCUCCAUGCUUUUUUUUAGGUGGCCCCUUCUCCCUUCUCAGGCAGUCUUCCUUACCUUCACCAUCUCAAACACCUUGCAUUUUUCAAGGCCUACUUUAAACCCAUUUCUGUUCAUCCUUUCUCAGAUAAUAUCAGCUCAUAGUGAUCCCAUCUUUUAAAACUUCUUAUACAUAAUUUUUCAAAGCUAGUAUUUUACAUAAAUUAUUUGCUACCUUAAGUAAAUCUGUGAAAAUGGAUAUGAAUGGGUUUGCCAGGAAUAACAUAAAGAACUUCUAGCAUAGAUAUUUGAUACCUUAUUUUUCACUGUUUUCUAAAUUAUAAACUUGCAUUCAUCCAUGGAUGAAAUUCAGUGUCUUUCAAACUAAAUGUUAGACAAUACAGCUAUGUUUGACUUCCUAAAAUGCCAAGGCCAUAUAAUUAAGAAUUCUGUAUCUAAAUUUUAAAAGUGGUAUUAAAUUUGGCUUUGCCCAAUUUCCAAAUGGUUGUAGAAUUGGACCUGGAAAAACGCAUUUCUACUUCAUCUCAGCAUUGCCAGGCUUAGUCAUUAGGGCAACUGGAUCCUCCCAUGUUGCUGUGCGCCAGUUCCUGGCUUCUGCACAGCUGGUUGGCUCUGCGACUGAUGACCUGUGCCUCCAGUCCUCUCCAAAGCACCUAGCUGUGGAGGCGCUAGGAGGUUUAGAAACAAGAGUGCUGUUGUUUUACCCUCAGGCAAGAGAAGAGGUGGCAAAAAUAAAUGAAAAUAGGAAGCAAUGAGGGAGAGGAAGUGCUGUACUCCUUCAGAUCCAUCCUGGCCAGUUGGCAAAGAGAAGGAGUCCAUUGCCAGUUACCAGCAAUGAGCCAGGAGUGACAAUAUUAUAUGGCUCGGAAGUGAGUUUUUGGAAGGAACCACUUUGGAUCUCAGUUUUCUCACUCAAAGAAAAAGAGAGAAGAAAAACAAUGCAUAUGUAUGCAUUUCAGCAGUACAUUCUGGAAAAUUUUCUUUGUAGUUAAUUUGUUUCAUUAUUUCUGAAUUCCCAAUAUUUGACAAAGUAACAGAUAGAUAAUGAGUAUUUGUUGAAUGAAUAAAUUUAUGUUAUCAAAAUGUAUUCAUUAUGUUAUUUUUAUGUUUGCUUCUAGAGUAAGUACAUUUACUUUAUCAUUUGAAAUCACUCUUAAUGCCAAAGAUUCUGGAAACUAAAACAUACAAAGAAGGCUGAAACCCACACAGGAGAUCUCAUAACUGGCCUUGGCAUAAGACUGCUAUAUUAUGAGAACUCAUUAGGUGGUAUGCAUGUGUGGGCUUCUGCUCUUUCACUGAUAUGUAUUCAGACUGCCCUAGAAUUUGAAAUACACUUUAUUACCAAAUAGGACACCGAAGGACAGUCAAAUAAAUGAUCAGUGUAUUCCUAAGAUAAUUUAAUGCUAUUUGGAAUUCUGUAUUCUUUUUACUCCUAGCUUACUUGAAGUCUGCUUUUAUAAACAUAACUUUCCCCCUUAUAUGAUUGAAGGUUAUUUUUGCUUCAGAUUCAAAAAAAUCCUCAGGUUGAUGUUCCUGAUAAUUAGUUCUGGUUAAUGAGAAUGAAUAGCAUUAGGCAAAGACCUUGCAAAACACAGAGGAAAAUAUCCAGAAUUGAGUUUAUAAAAUUUCAAUGUGUAUGCAAAUUUUCCAGAAUGUGCUGCUGGAAUACACAUAUACGCAAACUUAUUUUUCUCCUACAAGAAAGUUUCAUUACCUUUUGUAGCUUCUGUAUAUUUUGAUUGUUUUUGGCAAGGAAGCUGGGCUCCAAAUGUCUCAUUUCAUGAUCCACAGUGUACUCUUGUACUAGACAAGUAUUCAGUAAAAUUUGCCAUAUAAAUAAAUAUUGACUAAAUGGAUUAAAUAAUGCCUCCAUUCCUUGUGCCAGAUUGACUAAUUUAUUUAGAUUAACUUUUAGCAACAGUUGAAGGCAAACAUACUUGUGAUAUCCCAGAAUAUUUCAUUUCACCUAAAAGUGAAGGCUCAUAUUUUAUUUUUCCUAUACAUUGAUAAACAGAGACACCGAGUCUCCUUUUCCAUUUACUAAAGCAAAUAACCCAGUUACUCUUUUUGUACAACCUAAAUUUUACAUUCCAUAGGUUAGCAAACGUCCCACAUUUUUCUCUGAUCUUAACUCCUGUUAGUCACUGUUAGCACAAAAUAAGCGUUCCAUGGCUAUUUGGGAUUGAAUAAAUAAUUAAAAGUUUUGAAAACUCUAAAUCUCACUACAGAUAUUUUAAGAAGGUAAUGAGUGUUCUUUUCUUUUGCAUAUAUUCAUAGCCACCAUGUUUUAAGAAGUUAACAUAUGAAUUAAACAAUAAUGAUAAAAUUCAGAGUUUUAACAGAGCCAAAAGGAAUAAUUUUGAACAAUUAUAAAUAAUUUAAAGCUUUUAAAAUUUGAUAAAGCUUGUCAUGUUCAUGUUACCUCUACAAAAGAGUGUUUUAAUUUCGUCUCCAUUCAUUUACUUAUUAAGGGAAAUAACCUCUCAAAAGCACAUACAUCUACAGAUCAAAAUAUUGGAUUCCAUUUUUUUUUAAUUUUUCUUAUUCAAUCAUAAGACAAGAUAUUCCUAGCUGAGUUCUAUGUUUUGCUAAAGAAACUUGCAAAUCUUCCUUCUCAAUGUAGUAAAAGUAUAUAGGGGGGAAAUAUUGUCUUGUUUGGUCUCAGCCUCCUUCUCCGCUCCUUCUUCCUCCUCUUCUUCUUUCUUUGCUUUUCUUGUCUAUUGUUCCCCCUACAAACACAGAAAUUUCCCAGUGGAUAUAGAAAGUUAUUAAUAUAGUUUUCAGUAAAGCAGCAGUCUCUCUUUCUUCUCCUGAAUAUUACUGUGGUAUUUGUCUGGCAUUGAGAUUUGGUGCAUAUUGGGGCUUGAUCUUCAAACUGCAGCAAAUAAGAGGGCCAGCAUACAACCAUGAAUGUGCAUUAUAGAAGGUCAGUUGAACAUGAGGACGAAGAGAUGGAUUUAGAUUCAGAAUUAAUGGUUUUAGUCUUGUUUUAAAGAAUCUGUUACCUGCUCUGGAAGUGACUUGAGUAAGGAAUGCCAGAAAUAAGGAUAAAAUCCGUUUUCGUUUAUGUUCUUCAGUGAAAUCACCUAAUAUGUAAUGGCCACAAAAUAGACAUAAAUUAAACCUAGGUAGAUCAGGACAAAAGUAGGUAUUAUUAGGAUUAAUUCAAGUCCCUAAAUAUACCCAUGUGGAUAAAAUUAGAAAUUAUGCCUUCAGGAUGAAAGUGGGGGGGGGGCUUCCCCCAGAAAUGAACUCCCGAGAGAAGAGUGCGUCAAGAUAUUUUACAAUAUUUGAUAGUCAAAUGAAUGCGAUCAAAGAGCCAUUGAGAAUGUUGGGUUGAUUGUGAACGAAAUUUCAGUUUGGUCAGGGCAAGGGCAGUGAAUAAAGAAUAAGUCAGUCAAAAAUAAAUUAGAAGACAUAACCUGGCUACAACGUCUGGAGUUUCUCUGGAGGCCUAACUAUUCUUCUGUGUUAGGGAAGACAAGGAAAGAAAGCAAAAUUCAGCUGCAAAGAAAUCAUAAGAUAAAGAGUUGAAAUCAUUCUAAAAAUGUUUCAUCAUGUAAAGUACUUAAUUUUAUAGUCUUUUUUUUUUUUUUUUAGUAUAGUGGACACACAACAUUACAUUAGUUGCAGGUGUACAGGGUCGUGAUUCAACAACUCUAUACGUUAUUCUAUGUUCACUACAAGUAUAGCUACCAUUCAUCACCCAUCUGAGUCUCCCAGAUUCUCUCAAAAUAUAAAAAUAACUCUUUUUAGUUAUAAAAAUAUAUGUUCUUUUCAGGGCAUCAUAUCUGGAAUAAAUAACAUUAACACAUGAUAUUCCCACAAUGCCAGCUAUUUUAAAUCCCUGUAGAGAGGGCCCACAUCUGAAUAGUUGUGAAAAAUGAAGCUUUUUAAAAAAUUAUGUAAUAAUCCCAGGAUCAAAGCAAAUAAAUGUUUAGAUCUUUUCCUUGGUAUUCUUACAAUUGAAUAUUCAACAAAUUAAUUCAUCAAAUACUUAUUAAGCAUCUACUUGGAUCCUGAAACUAUUAUAAGAUAUUGAGAUAUAUCAAUGAACAAGCCAGAAUAAAUUAUAUCUGUGCUAAUAAAGCUAUUAUUCUAUCAUGGGGAGGCAAAUAAUAACCACAAAUACAGUAUUAUAGUAGGCUUAAAAGUGAUAAGAAAGAACUAUAUUAAAAGAAAAAAGAAGGAGUAGGAACUAGUGGAUUGAGAGUGACAUGUGUGUGGGAAUUUUUACAUUUUUUGUAAUGUGGUCAGAGUAAGCUUCAUGGAAAAGGUGACAUUUGAGCUAAGACUUGAAGGAAAUGAUGGGAAGCUGGAAUGUGAGUACUAUAUCUUGGCCAGAAUUUGCUGCUUAUUUACUUACUUUAUCUCCAGAUUGUAUAUAUAAAAGUCACGAUACCACUCAUUUGACAGAAAAAUAGCCAAGCAGAUUUUUGGUUCCCCUCUUCAUUGUAAGCAAUAUCAUGCUGGGGAGAGAUUAAGUAGACCAAAUUGAUUCAAAGCAAUUCAAAGCUGUUUAUGCAUUUAGGUCAGCAGACACAUUUGGCAUAGCACAAAUUGUGCUUGUUCAUGAGGAUUAACAUUUGAGAAAAGGACUAGGGUUUGUGAUAGAAGUUACUACCGAAAUUUCUAGUGUAUUCAACACAAGGCAGGCCUAAUUUUCUUUGUGGUGUCUUUACAGCUAUUCAAUAGUUUGAGCCAUGUUUGUGGAGACAAAAAAAAUCCAUGUCAAAUGCAUUAGCAGACUGUAAGUUGGUUUUCCAGACAGAACUGUAGAUGAGCAUUGCAUGUGCAUUAUGCGUAAUUGUAGUUUCACAUUUUGGCCACAAUCAUUUAGAUUUCCCAAUGAUACAUGGAAAGAAACUUAAGUAGUACCUAACAUGAGAGAUUUUCCUUUUUUUAAUUUUUUUCCAUUUUAACUCAAGUGAAAACAGCAGUUUUACUAGUUAACUGAGAAGCCUUUACAUAUGAGAUUGAGGAAUGUUUACUGGCUGCACUGAAGAAACUAAUCACCUUUUAGACAGUUUAUCUAAUUUCAUUUUAUCUGUAUUCUUCAUUGAAAUCCUGUGUAUGAAUUGUCUUCUUUUUACUUUCUCAGAUUUCAAGGUAGUUUUUCAAGAUUAUUGCUUUAGAAGGUAAAAUGUGAUUAUUCUUUGUAAUAUAGAAAUUUAACUCAGCUCAAAUAAUCAUUGAAUGUCUAUUCUUGUUCAGUUGGUGCAAUAAAAGAGUGGAGGUAGGUACAACAAAAGUAAAAAUUUAGAUAAUCAUCCUAAAAGGAGAUUUAAAUUUGGAGAGCUCUUUGGAAAGUCUGUAAUGGAUUGAAGAACAAAAGAUGAAAACUCCAUAGGUCUGCUCCAUAUUCACCUACCCCCUGACCCUCUCACUGACUUCAAGGCUGAGAUUAAAAAAAANNNNNNNNNNNNNNNNNNNNNNNNNNNNNNNNNNNNNNNNNNNNNNNNNNNNNNNNNNNNNNNNNNNNNNNNNNNNNNNNNNNNNNNNNNNNNNNNNNNNNNNNNNNNNNNNNCCUGCUCGCACUCUCUCUCUCUUAAAAAUAAAUACACGUUUGGGGCGCCUGGGUGGCGCAGUCGGUUAAGCGUCCGACUUCAGCCAGGUCACGAUCUCGCGGUCCGUGAGUUCGAGCCCCGCGUCGGGGUCUGGGCUGAUGGCUCAGAGCCUGGAGCCUGUUUCCGAUUCUGUGUCUCCCUCUCUCUCUGCCCCUCCCCCGUUCAUGCUCUGUCUCUCUCUGUCCCAAAAAUAAAUGAACGUUGAAAAAAAAAAUUAAAAAAAAAAUAAAUACACGUUUAAAAAAGUAAAGAAAGAAAAAUAUUGUCCAAAUAUGAGACAAAUACCCCUCAACUAUCCCCGAUGGCUUCAUAUGUAUCUAAUUUUUUAAAUGUUGGGGAUCAGAUGAAGAAAGGAAAAUGAUGAAUGUGGGCUUGUUGGCAUUUACUUAGAAAAGUCUGAAGGAAGGUCUCGAAUACUCUAACCUCUUUGUCUCUCUCUUAUGAUAAACAAUGCCCAAGAGCAGAAGGAAGAGGGGGGAGUUCCUUGGAAGAUUCUCUGGAACCAAAGCCAGCAGCUGGGGCUGUGCCGUGCACUGGAAAAGGCAGCAUCUGUGGUUUGGUCCAGGGGGACACGUGGGACAGCCCUGCGGCUACUUCAUUUGUUGCAUAAGGCAUUCUCUGCCCAUUUAAUGAGAGCAGCAGCCAACAGUGCUGUGAUUGUAGUGUUUUAAGGACUUGCGCAGUCAGAGAAACUUUAAAUAAUGUUAGCCCAGACCUUCAUAACCCCAGAAGGGGCCGUGGCCAGCUGGGUUAGGAAAGCUGAAAGACUGCUCUCACUUUCUGAAAAUUGUUCCAAAAUAUGAGCUGUUUUGACUGACACAGUCUUCUUCCUUUCUGGUCACACAGAGGUCUAGAUAUGAGGGACACACCUGACAGGAAGCAUCAAGUGACCUGUUUCCUUUUCAUUCAAAUAGAAGUCCCAAGUGCAUAUCUUCUCUGAGAAGUUUAGGGAAGGAUGAAGGAGAGCUUCCUGUGCUAUCUUUUUAAUAAGUACAUUACUGGACACUUCCUUCUUUCCUUCAUUCACUCAUCAUUCAUUCAUGCAGCAAACAUUUAUGAAAGGUGGAUUAGAUGACAUUGGGUGUGAAGGUUACUGAGAUGAAUGUAGCUCUAGCUCCCAAGGAGCUCAUAGUCCGGUGGGGGAAAUUAUCUGAACAAACGCUUGUCUGGAAAAGAGAUUCAAAAUUUUUGUGACAUGUGAGAACUCUACGUUAUUUCUGCAAGGAACAACUUCAGUUAAUGUCUAGGAAUAUUCCGCAUAGGCUUAGGGAUUUUUAUUCCAUAUAUUUUCCAGAGUUUUUAGGUAGACCCCAAUCAUUUAAUACACAAAGAGAAUCACAUCUUUCCUGAGCAGUCAAAGGUUUCAAUAUGGCCAUUCCUAUGCAUGCUUUUUUGUACAAUUAUAUAAAGGGAUAUAGACCUGGGGCAUAGCACAGAGGUCAGCCACAGCUCUGAUAACUGAAUUUCUAAUAAUCUGUUAUAAUAAGAUGGUGGGUUUGGUCUGCCAUCUAGUGAUUAAGAACUGAAUUCUUACAGCUACAUUUAAAAGCACACAAAAGCUUUAUGAGAAGACAAAUCUAUGAGGAUGUAGGAGAAACAGAGGACAAUUGAGUUACUCUUGAAUAAAAUGUGGAUAGAUAAAGUACAUCUCUUCUCUCUAAGAUAUCAGUGCCAGGACGUUUGUGGUAAUGACUUCACAGUGGAUUGGUUCAAUUUGUUGGAACAAUUGGUAAGGGUAAAAGAACCCCAUAGCUUAGAGACAAAAUUUUUGGAAGUUACGACACCACAGAAGAUUACAAAGUAAUGGCAAAAUUAUCAGACAUCCACCAGUCCUCUUCAAUUUUAGGAAAGUUAAAGAAACAUAAAUAGCAAAAUACAAGAGUCACAAUAUUGCAGUUUUGGAAUUUUUUUUCAGAUUUUAUAAAAAAAAAUGUUUACCCACGUACUCUAAGACCAAUAAUUGUUUAAGUUCUAGGCUUUAAAUCAAGGUUAAUGUUAGCAUGGGUAAAUUUUUAUGAUUUGGGUAAAGGAGUCAAGAUAGUAUUGAAUGUCUUGGAAUGUCAUAUGAAAAUUCCUAUUUGUUUUUUUUUUUUUAUAAUAUUGUCAUUUAUAAAAUAAUUGUGUCAUGACAACUCCACUGCAAAUUGUCUACAAUUUUGCUUUCCAUUUUACUUUUCUUUUCAUUUACGUGAACGUCUAUGUAGAAAGCAAAGGGGACAAACUAAUCAUAAGGUGCACAACUACCAUGUACAAACCCGAGAGCUGCAAGACACCCUGUAUUUUCUACUCAGUGUUUCUUUGUACAUGUCUUUCAUUCAGACAUGAACAAUGAGAGUUCACUGAGUUUUUGUGCCCUCUGUAAUGCGUAUGGAUUCUUGUGCGGGGGAAGAGAAGACAGGGUUUAGCAGCAAAUGUGGUUUUUCAUCUCCUUGCCAUUUAAAAGCAUUCCAACUAACUUUCCACAUCAUCUUAAAUUUAAUUAUAAAUUCUCUGGGGAAAAGGACCAGUGAUGACUCAGAGUAUAUAACUAACUUUUAACAUUGUCAUUUAAAGAAAGUAAUAUAGUGGCUCACUUCUUUGUCCCUUGGGUUGAGGUCAUGCUGUCUUAAACUUUCAGGAAGAAAGUGAUCUUCUAUGAGUUAACACAAAAGAGAGAAUGUAUCUUUUUAUUGCAACCUCAAAGAAGCCAUAGAGAACAGGAUAACUCACCCGGAAGAGGUCUCUCACACAUUUUAAUGAUAUCUAAUUGGCAACUUUAUUGCAUGUCAUUUUGAUUUUUGUUUGUUUUUCAUAUUCUCUGUUUCCACAUAUCUAAUUGUUUCAUAGGUGCAACUGAGGUCUACUUUACAGUAAUAAUAUAUAACUUUUGAAGACAGAACAUAUAUACUUUCAGUAUUUUGCACAUGCAAUAGGAAGCACAUACCCACUUAAAUCUCUCAGUAAAUAUGUGCAAACACUUUUGUCCCCUUAGGGUGGAGAAAGGAAGAACCAAGCUACUUGAUCUUAUGGUGAAUCUCAUUUUCAGCCAAUGGCAUUUAGUGUUAUUGGAUUAUUUCAUUGUUAAUCAUAAAACUUCAUGAAUAUUAAAUUCUACUCCUGAAACCAAUAUUACACUAUACGCUAACUAACCAGAAUUUAAAGAAACAACUUGAAAAAAAACUUAACGAACAAAAUUAUUCUUAAGGUAUUUACCUAAUUGAACUUUUCAGUAGACUAUAGAAAUAAGUCCAUUUCUAUAUAGCUACAUAUAGAAAUGUAACUUCCUGAUGAAACUGCAUUAUUUCAACGUGACUUUUCACCUAAAACUUAUAAGGCUUCUGACCCUCCAGUAGCUUGCUUUCGUUUGAGGCAGGCGGCAUCCCACACUGUGUCACACACAGAUGGGAGCGUCAGGUAGUUGGUACAAAUGGUCUGCAGCCUUUGUUCACCCUCUGUUGGCCCAUCUUCCUUCCCUGACUUUUUAAACUGGACCAAAGAUAAAGGGACUUUGUACCCUCUGAUGGCUUGGGGUGGGGACACCUAUUUCUUUGAAAGUUGCCAAAUGUGUUCUGUUGUAGUAUCCAAAAGUGUUGCUAUUUCUGUGAUUAUCUCUGGGAAAUGCCUUGACUGAAAUUUUGAUCGACGUUUGUUCGACGGUCUCUUCUUGGGUUCUAACCUUGGCAAACUUGCCUCGUAGCCAUGUCGGUGACCCCACACCAUUCCCGGUAGGGUGUAUGUGUUUGCUGGGCAGUCUGAGAACUCCCCGCGUCUCUGAGCCCACCCCUUACCAUCACUGCUAUCUGCAGAGUGCCAUGUCAUGGAGAAUAAACUCUUGUUUGACCAAGAAGGGGAAGAAAGCCCUCCUUUGGGCUGGGGCCGCAGACCUUGUGUCUUGACCUUCUCCCUGAGCUCUUGAGUCUUGGUGAGCAGUCACUGAACGCAAAGGACUGGAGAAUCCUGACUUCUCCUAGUGUGGCAAACGGCCCAGGGAAGGGAAAGGUGCCUCUGGGGAACGCUCCAUCUGUAACAGCCACUUUGCACCACUCACUCCUGGUUCCCUUCACAGUGAGGUUCUUUCUGCUCUAUAGCUCAGUGCUUAAGAGGUGGGUCUGGGGCCGCAACUUUUGGGCCUGACUUACAGACAGUGCUAAAUGCCUUUUGAGUCUGUAACCUGCCCAUGCGUAGACGGCCCCUCUUCUCCAGGGUUCACACUUUGACCUUAUCUCUGUGUGUGUAGAGCAGGAUAGAAAUGUGUGUACAGGGGUGUCUGCUGGUACGUGUGUGUCUACACACCAGCGUGAGUGUGCCUGUUGACAUGGGCACCUCAGAACUCUGGCCUGUGCCCACGAUUUCCACAGCUAUAAAAUGGUAGAGGAACUGCCCCCUACAGUAAAAGCAGUCACCUUCCAAAAAGGUCACAGGCAUCCUCCUAUGAUUGUUCGGAAAACACAAGAUUUGAGUGUAUCAGGGAAAAGCUGCUCUGACCUGGGGAGGACAGAGGACUUUGGAAGACAUGCUCGUUGGCCUAUUCAAAAAAGUCAUAUGUGACUCUAACGAGGGAAAGCAGCUUCAUUUGGGGCCUUGAGCCCAAUCAGAUCUGCUUUUCCCCUGGGGAAUGCCUGGUCCUCAGACUAUGCUCCCCAGCCUGCAGGAAGGAGUGAAGUGAGGUGGCCAGAGGGCAGCUGAGGGCAGGCCCCUCAGGAAUGCAUUGUUAUUCAUGUCUCUUUUCAGAGUCCUACAGUGGAUCCUGUAGAAAGGCUGCUGAGCCCCAUGCUGGGUGCUCUGAGAAACGAACAAACGAACGCAAGUGAUGUUUCUGCUCUGCUAGAGGGCUGGUUUUCUCCAGGUCUCCCUCCUCAAGGCAACCCAGUGACGAUUGUUCCAAUGCUCCUGAAUCUGAAGAUGAUUCAGUUCUUUUGUUUUUUAAAAAUUUUUAAUGCUUAUUUUUUGAGAGAGAGAGAGAGAGAGAGAGCGCGAGCGAACAAGAGAUAGAGGGAGGACACAGAAUCCGAAGCAGGCUCCAGGCUCAGAGCUGUCAGCACAGAGCCCAACGUGGGGCUCACUCACAAAUCUUGAGAUCAUGACCUAGGCCGAAGUUGGACGCUUAACCGACUGAGCUACCCAGGUGCCCCCAUGGAUGAUUCAGUUCUUAAGGUUUCUGGAAAAGUAUCCAUCCCAGCCCUUUAUGAACCAGAUCAUCUAUUUUACUGAAAGCCUUCUCCCCUUGGGAGAGAGAAUCCGGUUGAUGACUUUGGAGGGAGGUCUGGCCAUCGGUUUGGGGGUGUCACAUGGCCAGUGACCCACAAUCUCCAGCUUCCCUGUGCUGCCAGGUGGGGGAUGUGUUCUCUCUUCUGUGCUGGGGCUGAGGCCGGGGGCAAUGCAGGCCCAGCUGGGGAAGCAGCCUGGCCUCUCCUAGGAGAUGCUGUAAUAGCACGCUUCUGUCUUUCCUCAGAACCUGCUUUCUCCUUGGCAGUGAGUGCAGCCCAACCUCUAGAGCGGCUUCGUUUCUGCAGUGUUAACUGAUCUCAGGGGUGUCAGCGAGGUGCAGGGGAGGAAGGGACAGAGAUGCUGGGGCGGUGGCCAAGAGGACACCCACACCCUCCAGCAUGGCCUUUGACUCAGAGGUUAGGGACCAUGCCUAUCACUUGUGGGUACGGUUUGUGUAUCUGAAUAAAGUCUGAAGUGCUGUGACCUUUUUUUUUUUUUUGUCAAUAAAGACAUGAAACAAACAAAAUAAACAAAAGUAACAGGGCUUAUUUGAUGUACAAAUUUCUUAUUUUGUUUCAGAAUGGUCCUGUAUUACAUGUUAAGGCAGGAAUUCUAUUUUCUCCCUGGCUUAAAAUUCGUGAAACAGCACCAGGUACACAGAGCCAAUAUUGUUUUGUUGAUUAGCUGUGUGUUCUGUGAUAAACAUCUUUUGAUGAAAAUGAAACAGAUUAGAAACUUAGUGUCUUAGAAUCUCCUUGUGAAUGACACCGAAACCAGGAUGUGGUGUCACGCUUUGAAAGCAACUUUCCAUUUGCCAUAUAGCUGUGAUGAAGGGCUAGAUGUGUGAAGCCAAGUAUUCCAUGGAGCAGUGAAAAGAAUGUUAUCCAAGGAAAGCUUUCUAAAGUUAGGAAGAUGGAUAUAUGGGCCAAUGUCUUUAUCCUACACUGAAAUUUUUAUCUGUAGUCUGCAUUAUCAUUUGAGUAUAUUUAUAUGGCAAAUGAUAAAUUCUUUCCAUUGUAAUACUUUGGAUAGUGACAGAUGGUUACAUUUAUCGUGCUGAGCAUUUUAUAGUACAUAUAAUUGUCAAAUCACUAUGUCUUACACCUGAAAAUAUAUUGUAUAUCAACUAUACUUCAUUAAAAUAAAGAAAAAUGAUAAAUUAUCUUAUAAACUAAUGCAUUUUUAAAGUUUCAGUUUUAUUUUUGUAAAGUAUACAUUAAUGCUGGUGCAAUUAAGUUAGUGAACCAUAAUUCAGAUUCACUUACUCAUUCAUUCAUAUCUAUUUUGUUGAAUGUUGGCUCCCUGCAAGGUAUGGAGUCAAGCUUUAGAAAUACCAUGAUGAAAAAGAAAAACUAGUCCUUAUUUUCAUGGCAUUUAUGGUCUAGUGAAGGAGAUAAAAAAUAAAAAGUAAAAAUGGUAAAUUAAUAUUACUUGUGAUAGGUUUUAUGAGGGCUGUGAUUUUUGCCUGUCUGUUCACAUUUUAGAAACUGGUUAAUUAGCCGGCAUAUAAAACAAAAUUAAUGAAUGGAUGGGUGGACGACUGAGUUCUUCAAAAAGUACUGAGAGUCAUACUAGUUGGAUAAAGGAGGUCUCUUUAAAAAAAUGUUUAAUGUUUAUUUAUUUUUGAGAGAGAGAGAGAGAGCACGAGUGGGGGGAGGGAGAUCUACUUCUAUAGAGUAGUCAGAGAACUGUGGGGGCAGGUGACAGUAAGCAAAAUGUAAUAGUGAACUCUGUGUGCCUUCAAGGAGGGAGGGCAAAGUUGUGUAAGGACUGGGAGAGAGGAAUCUCUGGGCUUUAGAAUUUGAGUAGUUGGGAACAUUCUACAGGAGUUAAACUAGGAUGGUAUGAUAUGAUAUGAUCCACAUUGUGUUUUAAAAUACUAUAGUUUUGUUUCUUAAAAGUCACAAAGUUAAAUAUAUAUAUAUAUAUAUCUUAUAAUAAAUAAAUUAUAUUUAUCUUAUAAUUGUAUUGUUAUUGUUAUGUGUGUAAAUGUGUGUAUAUAUUUUCUAAAUCUGCAUUAAGGUUUUAUCUAAGUGUAGAAAAGUAUUUGGCAGAUAUUAUAUAAUAACUUACCAUAUUGUCGUGGUCAGGACUCCCCUUAAUUAAUUUUUAUGCAAAGAUAAUUACUGCAUUGCCUUUUUAAGCUUUGCUAUUCCUUGAGUAAACACCUUUAGUUUAGCAAAUACAGUCCAUGAAAUGGAACGCUAUUAUUCUUUUAAUAGCGUUCAAAAUAGCGUUCUUUUAAUAGCGUUUUCAAAAAACUAAUUUUUGAAAACCCAUACACUCUUUUUAAAGUUUUUCUUCACAGUGCAAGAAUAUAUAUCAUCUUCUGUUGUUGUGGGAUUUACUAAUCUAAAAUUUCUAGGGAAUUGAAAAUCACAUAAAAGUUCACCAAACCCGGAAGUUAUAUAUUCCCUUUUGAACUAUUCUUUUCCUCCCCCUUUCAAAUGGUUUGUUUUUAUCUCUUCUUACUAAUUUUCCUAUGUUUGGUUAUCUAUACCUUCACAAAUGAAAUCUUUUGGGAAGCAUUAUCUGAUUAAAUAUAUCUCCUUUGAUCACUUUUUUUUUCUUCCCCCGUCAUGCUGGGCUAGAAGUAUAAGCAUUUCAUUGUGAAUUGCAUUUUGCUUUGUAUGUAAAUACCAAAUAAAGUAAGUUCAUCUGUAUAUUGCCUCCUUGGUAGGUUACUGCUUAGCCCAGAAUUUUUAGAACCCACAAGAUGACUCCCCUUCUUAAGUAUUUCCCAGAUUCCAAAAUUUCAGAAUAUUACUAACCUCCUUCCCCCCCCCCCCGCCCUUCUUUUUUUUCUUAUUCUAGAAGGAUAUGGUGAAGAAAUAGCCUGCACUCAGAAUGGUCAGAUGUACUUAAACAGGGACAUUUGGAAACCUGCCCCUUGCCAAAUCUGUGUGUGUGACAAUGGAGCCAUCCUUUGUGACAAGAUACAGUGCCAGGAUGUACUUGAAUGUGCUGACCCUGUAACUCCCCCUGGAGAAUGCUGUCCUGUCUGUCCACACACAACUGGAGGUGGCAAUACCAAUUUUGGUAAGAAUGCUCAAGGCCAACUCAGAGCUGGUCCAGUGACUCAUCUUUAUAGUUGCGGUGGUUUCUGCUCUCAGAAUUCAGCAACCAGAGAGAAUAA